AAAUAUAUGAAAGUCCCUCAUAGUCAUGUCCACCGCCUCGAAUUCUAAUUUGUAGGCCAUGUUUCUUGGAGCAAUAUAUAGCUGCCUGGAUUUGAGAUUCAUCAUUAGGAGUGAAAAUAAUUGAUGGUUUGAAAUCGGAAGUUAUCCUUAGAUUACUUGAAAAGGAGUUAUAAAGGGUGGAAUAUGAUGAGUUUUUAGGAGUGUAGAUAACUUGUGAUAUUGAGUUUGAGUUCAUAAUUUUGUGAGAAAGGCAUUCAAGAAAGUCAUCAUGCAGGGUGGUGUUGGCCCAUGAUGAUGAAAGGCAAACUGAGAGAAAGAGAAAUAUUGUUAACUUCUUGAAAGUAGUCAUGAUUGUUUGUUGUAGCAAAUUUUGAUGUUGGAGAAAAUGGAAACUAACAACUCCUAUUUAUAGAUUUAGCUAGGGAGAAAUCAAAGAAGUUUAGUUUCAAACCCUAAGACCACGUGGUAUAGAAUAAUAUUUCGUCGGUUGUUCAUUUUGGUUUUGCACGGCUCUUAAAAAUUAAUGAUUAAUAUAUAUAGUUUAUUACGAUACUUUAAUAUAUUAAAUAUGACAAAUAAAAGUGAAAAUUUAUUUUUAAAAUAGUAAAAAUCUAUGGAGGGAGUAUUAUAUCUUCACCUAACUUUAAUCGUAAAACAUUUCCUAAUCCGUGAUAGAACUUUCUUUUAUUAGGUUUAAAAAGCAAAAUCGAACUCUGCAUGCAAUUAUUUUUUUUCGUGCAAGAAAAGUAUAUAUAUACACACAUUCCAAAGACUCGUCAAUUGUCAUGUUUAUUCACAUAGAAUUAGAUGCACACACUUCCUCAUGCCUAACGUGGAAUAUUAUCCGAUUAUGUUAAAUCAGGUCUUAGGUCUAACUCACACCCCAAAAGCUAGCUCAAAGGGAGGAGGAUUGCCCAAGCCUUAUAAGGAGUUCACCCAUCUCAUUAAACAUCGAUGUGGGACUUUUGUCAUUCUUUAACAUUAUCAAAAAAAACCUACGCAAUUCAAAUUUAGUCAGAGCAUCAAUAUGGACAUCGAACAUUAGGAUCGGGUGGGAAACUAAAAAAAAAGUAUAACUAUUCAUAUCAUUGAUAAUGAUCAAUAAAACUAAUUCGAGAAAAUAUUUUUCUCCUAAGUUGAAAUCUUACAUAUCUUCUAGAUUUGAAUCUUUGAUUAUAAUAACCUACUUUGAUAUAAUUGUGUAGUCGACUAGACAAAUUAUUUUAUGGAUAUUAUUAAUAUAUUAUGUCACUUUUAAUAAAUAAAUUUCAUUUUCAUGUGCAUUAUUGGAACUCGGGGUGUACAUGAUCGGGGUGGUUCGGGUUUUUCAAAUAUCAAACCAAACAAUUUGUGUAAAAAUUUUAAAUUUAUAAACCAAACCAAACUAAUAAAAUUUGGAUUUUUUCGGGUUUUUCAACCUCGGGUUGGUUCGGGUUUUUCAAAUACCAAACCAAACCAUUGUGUCAAAUUUUUUAAUUUAUAAAUCAAAACAAACUAAUAAACCUAGGAUUUUUUCAGAUUUUUGGAUUUUUCUCAUACAAACAUAUAAUUAACUUGUGCUCCAAAUAUUUAUUUAGUCCAGCCAAAAUACAAUUAUCUAAGGUGUUUCUUAAAAAAAUAACACAAAAUAUGAGAUGAGUGAUGAUACUAAAAUAUUCAAUAAAAAAUAAUAAUGAAAUCAUCAUAUAAAAUAAAUAUUGCAAAGUCAUAAUGAAAAUGAUCAUAAUUUAAAAGUACUAAAUCAUGCUAAAAUAAGUUUAAUAAGUAUUAGUUACAUUACUAAAUAUUUAAGGAAAAUUAAAAUUAGAUUAUGCAUUUUAAUUGUCUAAACCAAUGUAAAACUAAAAAACCAAUANNNNNNNNNNNNNNNNNNNNNNNNNNNNNNNNNNNNNNNNNNNNNNNNNNNNNNNNNNNNNNNNNNNNNNNNNNNNNNNNNNNNNNNNNNNNNNNNNNNNNNNNNNNNNNNNNNNNNNNNNNNNNNNNNNNNNNNNNNNNNNNNNNNNNNNNNNNNNNNNNNNNNNNNNNNNNNNNNNNNNNNNNNNNNNNNNNNNNNNNNNNNNNNNNNNNNNNNAAACUUGAAAUAAUAUAUUAAAAGAUAAAAACUAUGAAAUAGUAUAAGAAAUAUUUUAAAAUUAUAUCAAUGUAAAUAUUUUUAUGUAUAAAAUAAAAUUUUAAAAUUACAUAUAUAAUGUCGGGUUGAUUUUUUUUUGUUAAAACCAAACCAACCCAAAUAUAGUCGGGUUUUUUUUUCCAAUAUCAAACCAAGUCAAACAAAACCACUAGUGGGGUUUUUUGUUCGAUUUGACUCGAUUUACGAUUUGGUUCGAUUUUCGGUUAAAUUUUGUACACCCGGAACAUAAAGAUUAAAUAAAUUCUCUGGUCAUCAACGUAUUAAGCAAUUGUCCGACUUGAUUUUUCAAAGGUCAAACUAGACCUUAAUAAGAAAUUGUAAUUUAUGAAAAUUGAUGGGUUUUUGUGUCAAACUUCCUAUAUGUAAAUUGUCCCAAAAUUAUCAUUGACCAAAUCCAUUUUGACCUUUAGAUGAUAAAUAUGGAUAAACAUACUAAUAAUUUUUUUAGACUCUAUCGGAUGGAAAAAUAUCAUAAUAAUAAUUUUUACAUAUAAAAUGACAGCGAAGUUAGAAAUUUUACUAAAAAAGUUAAAACAAAUUUAGUACAUAUAUUUCUAAAAUGAGAAUGUAAUUAUGGUCCAAGAAACUGUGUAAAUUACAAAGCCUACGGUUAUACAUUGAACUCAAAAGGUCUAAAUCAUUGUAAUUAUGAUGAGUAAAUUAAAUAACUUAAAAGCUUAAUUUAAGUAUGUAAAAUUAUUUAAUAAAAUUAGACAAAAUGUUCAAUAAGUCCAAAAUUCCAUACCCAAAUAACCUAAUUAUUAUUUAUUAUUAAAAUUAGUCCUCCUUCUUUCUUCGUUGCUUUCCUUCUUCAUUCCCCCCUUAGUCUGUCAUGUCAGCAAUAUUUAAAACUUCUUAAAUUUCGAUUUUAAAAUUUGAUGCAUCGUAAAUAUGUAUCAUUUCGGAUAAAUAAUAUAUCAAAAGGGAUUUUAAGCUAAAGACAAUAUAGGAAGGAGGGGGCAGGGCCGACUCAACAAGAUCGGGGGCCUAAAGCCAAACUUUAAAGAGAGACCCUAAUAUUUUAAGAAGUAUUUUGUUUCUUUAAUCUCUUUAAUAAUUUUAUUCUUGAUUUCACUUGCCAAUAAGUUUAAUAAUUCACUUUGUAUAUUAUGUCCAAGGUAAUGACUAUGAAUUUCGUCAUGCUUAUUCUUCAAAUAAGUUCUUGCAUAGCUGGAUCAAAUUUAUUAGAGAAAAUGGUCAAAUGCCUCCCAAUCUAUUACCGAAUUCCCAACUACACACUUCAACUUUACGAGUGUCCUAUCACCCCCCUAAAUUGUUUAAAACUGAAAUUAUUACACCCUUAUAAAGGAACAACCACAUUUAUAUUGACAGGUGAAACUCACACGUUUGACACGUGGAUUUCUUUAAAAACUAUUAUUUUUUACCUUUUUCUCCUAUAUUUUUAUCUUCCCUUCCAACACCAAAAGUAUUUUCAUCAUUUUUUUCUUUCAUUGCAAAUAGAAAACUUCACCAAUCAACCUAUCGACACCACCCACUUCCUACCACCAGCAUUAUCAAGUCCUAAAUCUUUUGACAUAUCAAAAAACAUCAAUUAUUAACGCUUCUUUUCUUUCUUUACAAUUGCCUAUAAAUUAAUUCAUAUCUUUUUGGAGGAACUCUAAACAAUUUGACGACUUAUAAUAGCAAAAGGAAAUUUCUAACUAUCUUCCGAAAUCAUUAGAUCUGCACUCAUUUAAAAGUUAGUGUCACACCAUCUCAUCACAUGUGGGUUUCAUUGAAAACCCAAAAUUAUUUCUGGGUUUGAAAUAAAAUUGCCAAAUUGAGGCAUCGAAUAAUCAAGAUAUGAAUUUCCAACCUAAUCGGCCUUGUGGGUUGACAUGUAAAGUGAUGAUUAACAACUCCAAUAAUCUCAAUAAGGAAUUGAUUUUCAAUUUUUUCUAAUUUCAUGCACAAAUUGAAAAAUACAAAUUCAAGAAUCAAGAGGAAUACUAAAAUUUCAUUGUCAAUUAUGUGGAGAUGGUAGUGACGGUGACGAUAGAGAAAAUAGUGGCGGUGGCGAUUUAGAGAUAAUGAGUGGUGGAAUUUGAUCUAGAGUGUAAUGAAGAAGAAAGAAACAAAUAAAGAAAAAAGAAUAAUUAUAAAUACAAGUAUUUCUGAAAAGAAAUAUUAAAAAUAAAAGUUUACUAUUUGAUUUUGGUGCUCACUCUCUCAAGGAGAGUGAAAUACACUCAUUUUGCCACAUAAGCAUUUAGGGAGAUGAUAAUUUCAGUUUUAAAUAGUUUGGGAGGGUGAUAGGACUCCUGUAAAGUUUAAGUGUGUAGUUGGGAAUCCGAUAAUAGAUUGGGGGGCAUUUGACCAUUUUCUCAAUUUAUUAAUCAUUUCAAUUAGGUUUUAAAAAUUACCAUUACUUUCUUGAUAGAUCUUUCCAUUUGUUCCCCUAAAUGCUAAAUUAUUUUUCCAAAGAGUUUUGAUCACGUCAAUAAUUCUUGACAAUACAUUUUUCCGUUGCAAUUUAUCUCUAUCAAUUUGUUCCUGCACAACUUUAUCAAUUGUUUUUUUUUAAUGAAAUCUCAUUUCUAAAUCAAUACACGAGCUCAUAUUAUUAAUAAUAUGUUCAUUCUUUACUUCAUUGACUUUGAGCUUAACACUAAGAUUUCUCCACUCAUUACUACCUUCACUAGCUAGUUUACUACUGCAAAUAAUAGAAGUUGUGCUAAAUAAUUUACAACAAAACAAUUUUUUUUUUAUCCAAAUCUUUAGAGUAGAUUAAUCAUUUUCUUUCAUGCUUUUCUCCGUUUACCAAUUUUUGAAUAUAGUGUGUUGUAGAAAAAUGUUGUACGUAUUUAUCUUGUGGAAAAUUAUAUCAGUCAUUCUAAAUGGUCCAUUUUCUACUAAUAGAUCUCUCAAUUUUUUAUCAACAUUAUUCCAUUGACUUGGAUCUUAUAUAUUUUUAGGGAUGCAACUAUUUAAAUUAUCUAGGAGUUCUUGAUAUCGGGAACAAUGUCACAUUUUCACCAACUUCUUCUAGAUUUUAUUCUUGGGUAUUAUUAUCAUCUAAAUCAAUUCUAUUGGUGACUUGUUCAUUCGAAAUAUUUAUUAUUUGUCAAAAAUCUAAAAGGGAAAAGGCUCAAAUAUGCCAUCGGACUUUCAGAAAAGGCUCAUUUAUGUCAUCCGUUAAAAGUUUGACUCAUUUAUGCCAUUAUCGUUUAAGAAAAGGCUCAUUCAUGCCAUUAUUUUUUAACGGUGAUUUUGCAAAACCAUUUUUUACACAUGGCCAAUUAUAAUUCGGCCACGUCAUUAUUUUUUUUAUUAAUAAAAAAUCAAAAUUCAUAAACAAACAUUGAAUUAAAAUAACCCACCCAACUAAAAACCCACCCAAGUAAAGACCCACCCAAAUUUAAAUCCCUAUAACUCAUCAAUAACCCAAUUUUUCAUUCAAUUUUUCAAUCCAAAAAGCCCUAAGAUCCUUCUCACCCUCUUUCACUUCUUGGGCGAUUGGAUGAGUUCUAACACAUUCCCUAACCCUCAAACUUAAUUCUUCCAUUAUCAUCUCCUUCAAUUAAUUUAUUUUCUAACAAUGUCUGAGGGGUCGAAUGUCUCUUCUAGUUCAAAGAGGAGGUGUUAUUGUGGACUUGAAGUCAGUCAAUUCACGGCGUGGACACCGAUCAAUGGACACCAAAUGGAUGUUACAAAAUGUGUUUGACUGAUAACAACUUCAAGAAUCUAGCUACUGGAGAUGUUGUUGACAAAAUUUGUGUGUCAUUUAUAACACAUGAGGAUUUGGUUGGGACUACAAAUGCUGAGGGUUAUUUCGAGACUUCACUUUUCUACGGAGAUUUCAAAGCUAUUGUUACUCAUCCUAUGAUGGUGGUUUCAAUCUUUCACCACAAUUUAACAGUGAUGCCUACUACAUCUGAAAGUAGCAGUGAAAGAGUAUUCAGUUACAAAUUUAUGGCUGCUUGAGUCAAACAUGCCAUAGGGAUUAUGUGCAGUAAUCUAUUUUCUUUUUUUUGUGUUGCAUUUAAGUGUUUAUCAUAAAUGAAAGUCAGGUUGGAUGAACGAAUUACUUGUUUUCUAUUACUACUAUCAACAUGCUUUUUAGUUGUCAUGUUGCGCUAGAUAUUCGUAACGGAAAGUCUUACAACUUGCAACCUUCUUCAUAUCAAAUAUGUUGAAAAAUACAUCUUAAAAUGUUGGUUAAAUUUUAUAUUGUUUGACUCUCAAAAUUUCGUGAGCUACUCAGUCGCUCCAAUUAUCUUGGUCGAUCGCAAAAGCUUGUCCAUCCCUCCCUUAAUCACAAGGGAAUAACUCUACCCAUAUCACGUCCUAUCGUAGAGUGUUUAAACGACAUCUUACAUCAUGAUAUUAAAAACAGUUCCCAAAAUAAACAACUUUGCUAGAGAAAUGCUAGAGAAGCAUAUCAAAAUGAGAUUAGAAAGCACCAUAAUCUGCUGUAUAAAUUCCAGAGUUGCACUUCACCAUUGACCAACUAUAGAAAGAUAACAGUAACAUGCACCAGACCGUAGACAUUGCCAUACAUGCAUCUAACAAAAAUAAUGACACAAGACCUUCAGCCUCUUAAGUGAAGGAUAAUAAUCACAAUGCAUAAACAAAUUCCAAGCAGUAGCAAUACAAAAGCUCAUUGAAAAGAAUUGUGAUGUCAACCUGCACUAAGGAGUUCCAAUUAUUGCAACCUGCAAUAAAUUAAUUGAAGGAGAUGAUAAUGGAAGAAUUAAGUUUGAGGGUUAGGGAAUGUGUUAAAACUCAUCCAAUUGCCCAAGAAGUGAAAGAGGGUGAGAAGGAUCUUAGGGCUUUUUAGAUUAAAAGUGAAUGAAAAAUUGGGUUACUAUAGGGAUUUAAAUUUGGGUGGGCCUUUACUUGGGUGGGUUAUUAAUUGGGUGGGUUAUUUUAAUUCAAUGUUUGUUCAUGAAUUUUGAUUUUUUAUUAUAAAAAAAAUAAUGACGUGGCCGAAUUAUAAUUGGUCACGUGUAAAAAAUGGUUUUGCAAAACCACCGUUAAAAAAUAAUGGCAUGAAUGAACCUUUUCUUAAACGGUAAUGGCAUAGAUGAGCCAAACUUUUUAACGGAUGGCAUAAAUGAGCCUUUUCUGAAAGUUCGAUGGCAUAUUUGAGCCUUUUCCCAAUCUAAAUAGGGCUCUUUUUUAAGAUUUAUUUAAUUCUUCAAGUUUUCUCUCUUUUUGCAAAAUCAGAAUCAUGUUUUCUAGUUGACAUAUCAAGAUUGAAUCAAUUUUCAUAAUAAUUCAAACAAUUUACAUAUACUUAAGAAUAUCAACAAUAAAAACCUCUUACACGUUUUUUUUUCUCAAAAAAUUAAUAUAAUUUUUUUAUAAUAUAUGUGUUUUACUCGAAAAAUAAAAGAAAAAAUGACUUGUUUCGAAAAAUCGACUAAACUUAUGAUUUGAAGAGAAAUUGAUUUUUUCAAAAGAUACAAAGUCGCCACUUAAUUUUUUUUAGUAAAAAUCAAGAAAAAACUUAAAGUUUUCAAAAGAUUCAAACAGAUAAAAUCAAUUGAAAAAGGGUUCAAGUUCAAUGUACAUUCCGAGAAGGUGUUAAGCCCUCGAAAUGUCCGCUAAAUUGCAGUUGACAGACGAUUUGACUAAAAAUAACUUUGACUAAUUUUUAAACCUUUAACUAAGUACAAGAACUCUUUUCUUUUCUAAUUAACUAUUUCUUAGGGGAAAUAAAAUAAAAGAGAUCAUUCGAAAGGGAAGUAACUUAAGUGUUAACACGACUAAGGCUAAAAUAGAGCUGAGUAAUAAAUAAAACAUAUAUAUAAGAAAAAUAAAUAAAACUUUUGAAUAUAAAGAGAAAUGACUAUCUUCGGGAAUUUAAUUAAGUUAAACCAAAGUGAAAAUAAAUUGUUAGUUAAUUCAAUGAAAUAAAUAAAGAGGAAAAGGGAGAGAAUAUUGAACUUGGGCUUUUUGCCCAAAUUCGAAAUUGGGCUUGCCAACACUUUUAUCCAUGUCCUAUUAUCUAAAGUUUGUCAAUAAUGAUGGGUUUUGGCCCAUCUCAUCAAAAAUCAGCUCCUUAUCAUUUUUGGGUCUGCUGUAAUUUCAUUGGGCUUUGGCCCAUUUUUUGCUACCUGGACCUGCUGGCAACAAAGAUCUUGGGCUUGAAGCCCAUUUUUGAGUUUCCCAGAAUUGUAUACAUUUGUAUACUGAUGUAUAUCAGCCCCUGUUCUUGUAUAUUAUACGUAUACAGACGUAUGCAAUCCAUUUUUUCAGCAUGUGUUUCAUCCCGAUUUUGACCUGUUCAUCGAUUCUAAAGGCUGGCCGACUCGAAGGAAAGGGUUUGAGCCUUUAUGGAUCUCUUGAAAUGCAGGGAAAGAAAAAUAGGAGUUCAUGGCGAACUCGAACAGAUUUCACAUGCCACGAAAAUGAUGAUAAGAAUUAGCCAAGGAAAAGUGACAUGGAAUAAAUAAUAAACUUGAUGAAAGGACAAAUAAAAAUAAAAUGAAGCUAUUAUUUAACUACUCGAACUAGUCAAAACAAAGAAGACUAUGCAUAUACGAACAAUACAACACUCAUAAUAAGUUUCACUCAUAACAUACAGUGGCUAUGAAACAAAAAAAAAACAUGCUACCUUUUUGAACAAAUGGGACAAAUAAAAUUUAUAAAUGAGACCAUCUACAGAGGUGAGUCUCCCAAACAAACAUAACAAAAAGAAGUGAGCAGCCAUGACUUAAACUCAAACAACGACUCAAUCUAAAUAUUAACAUUAUCGGGAAGUUUCUUACGACUAACUUUAAGCCCUUUUAAGGAAUAAAAUGACCAGGGCACAUGAAAUCUGAAAAAUCAUGCUAAGAACACUUUGAUCAAACUUUUAUCAAACUCGUUCACACUAUAUGAAACGCAUGCAGCUGAGCAGGGACAAUUUUGAAAACAAAAAUCCAUGCUCAAAAUAACUAGGUUGCAUUAGGGAAAAUCACACAACUACACUAAACACAAAAGGUCAAUUUUAGUUUCAAAAGAAAGAGCAAAAACAGGAUAUUAAGAGCUAAAAUGAAACCUGAAUAUAAAACACCACACCUUAUCAAAGCUAUAAUCACAUCUCCCAAAUCAGAUUUGCAAUAAUCGAAACAAGAAAAUAAAGUAUAGGCAACACAAUCAGUUGUUAACAUGUAGAACAACAAGAUUACUUAAAACUAGCACUAAUCACACUCUUAUACAAAUAAAAUCAGUAAGGGAACCAUCAUAAGCGACCGCUCAAAUAUCAUCAGAACUAUAAUCAAAUCUGUAGAGAAAAGAAGAGUGAUACAUAAAGAAAACAAGUUGAACAACCCAUAUUUGUCUAAAAAAAAUACGAAAACAGAGAAUAUGACGAGUAUUCAAUGUACUCCACAUAGAAAGCAUCGCAUUAAACUAAAUCCGAACAUGAUAACAUGAAUAUAUCUAGCAAUUAGAGGGAGGACUAUCAUCAAUCAACCCAUAUUCAAGCAUAAUCUAAGUGACAUGAACAUUCAAGGAACAUAAAAGUCGAGAAGAAAGAAAUGAAACGAAAACGAGAUAGGGACAAGGUUGUUACCUUUUCCUAGGCAACGGACUGGGACCAAAACAAACGGAGGAGUAGCGACUUCACCACGAAUGGAAAUCAAAUAGAGCUACUAUGAAGAAUCUCCGAUGCAAGCUUCGAAACAAAUUUCUAGGACUCGGAAUUUCUAGAUUUAACAACUAUAGCUAUCCCUUUCUUCUUACAAAUAUAUUCUUGUAUGUAGUCUUUAGCUACUGGAAAACCGAAAAAUCUAAAGGAAGUCGAAAACCAAAACUCGAACCUAUUUCGUAUUUGGUUUCUAUAGCUAUUUCUUACUAAGUAUUUCUCUCUGUAUCAACUGAAAUCCCAAUUUUUUUCCCAAUCUUUUCCAACUCUCUUACUGAAGGUAAAUGAGGGGUUUAAAUACAGGGGAAAAUAGGGUUCGAUUUAGAGGGGAAAACGGGCAGAUUUGGAUAAGAUUUUAUGAAUUCGAAAUUCGAAAAUCUCUUAACAGAUAAGGUUGGAGCUGGAAUUAGUACAAAUCUCCAACGGAAAACAAUUUUGGGCGCUUGAUUUUCGAGCAAGGACGAGUGAGUUGCGGAGAUGGAGACACAUAAUGAUUCUCCAAAGAUUUUGGUACGAACGAUAAGGAGAGAGGAGGAGGAGGAGGAUGCGCGAGAGCUGGGCUCAAUUUUCUGCUGGACUUGCAAUUCUGGACUGCUUAUGGGUCGCGAUUGCUGCUGAUUUGGGUUGCUGAGUUUCUGGGUUUGUUCGCUGGGAAGAAGAACAAGUUACACGGGUGGGGUAGCGUACUGUUUGCUGUUGUGUUGUUGUGUAUGUGUUUGUUUGGUAUUGUAAUUGGAAUGAGCUUCUUUAGUAUUGUAAUUACGCUUGGAUUGGGUUAUUUGACAAGUUGGGAUGCUGAGAAUUGUUGUUAUAUGGCCCAACUUGGUUUCUUAAAAUUGAGUUGAAGGCAUGGAAGGAAGUGGCUAAAAUUGCUAAUAAGGAAGUAGCCAUUUAGAGUUAACAAUUUAGCCAAAUUGAGUUUAGUUGGUGAUUCGGCUAAAAAUUAAAUUAUAUGAAUUAAUAUAAAUUAAUUAAUGAGCUUCUUAAUCUUAACGAAAUAAAAAAAAUCGACUUAAUUAUAAUAUAAUUAAUCCAAAAAAUGUAAAACUAUUAUAUAACUAAACUAAUUAGUAAAAUAUUUAAACAAAACAAAAUCUUUGUUGAGAUGAUUUUCGAAUAUUUAUAAAAUGUACUGAUUAUAUAUAAAAUUAUAUAAAACUUAUAUAUUAUCUAAAAAUUAUAAAAAAAAAGUGACAAAACUAUUUAAAAUAAGUUGCAAACUAUAUUAUUAUUUAUUUAUUUUUGAAAUUUUGUAAAACUAAUUAUUUUAAAUCAUUUAAAAUUGAAGAAGCUCGAAAUGAUUACUUUAUAUUGUGGAGGUCCAAAAUUGGGUGUCAACAAUAUGUAUAAGUAUUUUUUUAUAAAAUGGGGGGCCCAAAAUAUAUGGGGCCCCAAGCGAUGGCUUUAUUGGCCUAGUGGCUAAGACGGCCCUGGGGGGGGGGGUAAAAAAAAGUCAGGAUAUGACAAAAGCAUCUUUUUGAAUCGAAUGGACUUUUAUGAGAUAUGACGAAAUUUGAUACAUGGAUAUAAAAAGAGGACGCUUUCUUGUGUUGCAUCGAAGACAAUGACCUAAGAGACAAGCACCUUCUCUUAGGUUUCUUCCUCUCGUUCCCAUCGCCGCUCAGUCCGCUUUAGAUCGAAAGAUUAGCAAAGCGGAAAAAGAAAGAGUGAAGGAGAGCAGCAUCUUAUUGAUCUCUUCGCGAAAACUGCCGGAUCGUAGAAGCAAAACAUAGAGAAGAGCUCAUAUCUAAAUUUUGAGACUAUAUCUAGAGGAGAUUUGAGUUGGUUGGGAUUAAGAAAAUUGGUCUACAAUGCAUAUUUUAUUGUAUCAGUAAUGUGUGUGUGUAUAUAUAUAUAUAUAUAUAUAUAUAAAUUCUCUAAUACUACGUAGUUUUACAUUCAUCUGUACAAGAUUAUACACUAUUUAUACAAUAUUGAUACACUAUAUACAUUGUUGAUACAUACAUAUACAUAUGACCAUUUAAAAAUAUUUUUUGUUAAUUUUUUAUGUCAUGUAGACAUAAAUUCCACAAAUAAUAAAAUAUUGAAAAAUCUAAUAUAAAAAAUACGACACUUAUGUUAUAUUAAUUGGAUUUAAUCUUUAGUGAUAUCUUAUUUGUUCUCAAAAUCAUAAUAUUAUUUUAACUAUGACACUGGUGCUACUGCCUAUCACCACUGUCCCAAAGAUCGAAACAGGAAAAUUAUCUCAAGCCACAAUUUAUAUAAAACAUGAAAUCUAUUUCUAUUGAAUUGAAACUUAUUCAACAAAGAUGUUUAGUUUUUUUCCAUACACGAUUUUUUCAAUUAAUUUCGAAGUUUUGAACAUUAGGCAAGUAAUUAAUACAAAUAAAAUCCUACUAAAGUAAGAAAAACCUUGUUCAUUCCUACACAAUCUUUGAAACGUGGCAACAUUUAUUUUUCAGUACUAUAGUUGUAUACAUAUACAUAAAAGAACUUAUUUGUAGAGUGCAUAAAUUAAUUACUACUAAGCUUAAGAUAAUAGAGGAGGAAUACUUUGUUCAUUCCUAAAGAAAUUUGUUGGAUCAAUUUUAGUCUUGAUUUUCACCAAUCUAUCAAAGUUGUUCUUGAAAUAUUUCACUCCCCAAAUUCUUGCUUGUUCAUAGCUUGUGUUUCCUUUGUUGUUCACUCCCAAAUCAAGAUCUCUAUAGUUGAAAUAAGCACCUCUAGGAGAUUUUGACACAUACCUAGCCAUGUAACCAUAAAGUUUUCAAAUCCAAGCUAAGUUACUUUGAGAAUUUUUCACUCUCCCCCAAAACACUGCAUAAUGAAUCAUAAAUAUGUUUCCAGCUCUAUGAGGGAAAGGUGUUUCAUAUUCUGAGAUGUCCCUCAACUUUCCUCCGUAGGGACUAAACUGUAAUUCAACUGAGUUUUCACCUACUUGGUUGAAUAGUUUCCAUAUACCUUCAAGACCAUUAAUAGAAAUUGGUCGUUGGACAUAGUCUGAUUUCCCUUUGAAAUAAUAUUCUUGAUUAGUUGCGCUAUUAUUCCAAUGAAGUAGCACAUCAAGUGAUGUGCCCCUAGGGAAACCAGCAAAGAAGAGUAUAGAUUCGAUCCAACUCAUCUCAAUGCAAUCUUCUUUCACUAACCCUAGUUUCGAGAAACUAUCUUGCAUUUCGUGGAGGAGUUCAUCUACUACUCCAACAAACAUUGUAGUGAAAAAGGCGUAGAUAGUCCUUUGUCCACGCCUGAUUGGAGAUUCACUACUCUUCAGGAAGAGCCUGAGGAGAAGAUUGUCAUCAACUUUGUCCGCGAUAUGUUGCCAUUUGUAGACUAGUUGAGUUGCAUUUUGUUCCAACGUUCGUGUCACGUUGAAUAUAGUCACCUUUUAUAAAAUAUCAAGUAAUUUCACCUUCCAUGAGAUAAUGAGACCAAAACUAGUCCCUCCACCUCCUCUAAUAGCCCAAAAGAGAUCCUCACCCAUUGAUUCUCGAUCCUGAAUUCGUCCAUUAGCAUUAAUUAAUUUUACAUCAAUGAUGUUAUCAACAGAUGUACCAAAUUUUCGUGACAUCAUGCGAUAGCCUCCACCACUAAAGUGUCCACCAACACCAACAGUUGGGCAAGCCCUAGCAACAAAGGCCAAUUUUUUACUUUUUUCCACGAUUCUAUAGUAAACUUAACCAUGGAUCGCGCCAGCUUGAAUUCAAGGAGUCUUGUCUUCAGUAUCUAUGGAGAUUGAUCUUAGGUUUCUAAGAUCAAUUAUGACAAAAGGGGUCUCCGAAAUGUAUGAAAGUCCCUCAUAAACAUGUCCACCGCCUCGAAUUCUAAUUUGUAGGCCAUGUUUCUUGGAGCAAUGUAUAGCUGCCUGGAUUUGGGAUUCAUCAUUAGGAGUGAAAAUAAUUGAUGGUUUGAAGUUAGAGGUUAUCCUUUGGUUAUCUGUAAAGGAGUUCAAAAUGGUAGAAUAUGAAGAGUUUUUAGGAGUGUGGAUAACUUGUGAUAUUGAGUUUGAGUUCAUAAUUUUGUGAGAAAGACAUUUAAAAAAGUCAUCGUGAGUUUUGUUGGCCCAUGAAUAUGAUGAUGAAAACCAAAUUGAGAGAAAGAGAAAUAUUGUGAACUUGUUGAUAAUAGUCAUAAUUGAUUAUUUGUUGUUGCAAAUUUUGAUGAUUGAGAAAAUGGAAACAAGAACUUCUAUUUAUACUUUUAGCUAGACAGAAAAUAAAGUGGCACGUGGUAUUAAACUAUAUAUUAAUACUUUCUCCAUUUGAAUUUAUGUGAGAAGUUUAAGAAUUUUAAAAAAAAAAAACUUAUUGUCUAAAAAUAAGUCACUGAUGUUUGCAUGAUCAUAAAUCAUUUCAAAUAAAAUAUAUAUUUUAUAAUUAAAUUAUUAUUAAAUAUAAAAAUAUAUCAUUAUUUUUCAUACUUACUAAAAAGAAAAAUGAGUCAUAUAAAUUAGAAAAAAUGAGUAAUAUUGUUGUGUUUUCACCUACUUUAUUCGAAAAACAUUUCUUAAUCCGUGAUAGAGUUUUCUUUUUUAGUUUUAAAAGGCAAAAUUGAACUCUGCGUGCAUUUUUUUUUUCGUAAUUGAAAAGUACAUAUACAUUCCAAAGAUUAGUCAAUAAUUGUUAUGCUUAUUCAUAUAUUAUCAGUUUUUAUUUUUAUAUUUUGUUCGUACUUAGCAUUAUUGGUAUAAUUAUUCAUAUCAUUGAUAACGAUCAAUAAAACAAAUUAGAGAAAAUCUUUCUCCAAUUUUUAAAUCUUACAUAUCUUAUCUUCUAGAAUUGAUUAUCAAUGUAUUAUAUAGAAUAUAUAUGUCGCCUUAAAUAAAGAAAUUUGUGUAGAAAACUUCAACAUUUCCUCUGCAUUAUUGGAACAUAAAGAUUAAACAAAUACUCUAGUCAUUAAACGUUACCAUCAUGAGUUGUGAUGCAGUGAUAGAACUGUGCCAUCCUUAUUUGAAGGUCUUGGGUUCGAGCCUUGGGUUUGGAGAAAAUUCUGUUGGGAGCAUUAUAGGUCAAACUAGACCUUAAUAAGAAAUUGUAAUUUCUUAAAUUUAUGAAAAUUGAUGGGUUUUUUGUCCAACUUCCUAUAUGUAUAUUGUCCCAAAAUUAUCAUUGACCAAAUCCACUUUGACCUUUAGAUGAUAAAUAUGGAUAAAGAUGCUAAUAAUUUUCUUAGACGCUAUCGGAUGGAAAAAUAUUAUGAUAAAUUUCUAUAUAUCCGCGGAAAUAAAAUGACGGUAAAAUUAAAAAAUUUAUUAAGGAUAGUUAGAACUUUAGCAUAUAUUUCUAAAAAGUUGAUUUUGAUUUAUAAAUAAGUAUUGUUUUUUAUAUGCACAAUUUAAUUUUUUGACAAAAGGUGUUUGAGUAACCAUCGUUAGGACAAUAUAGCUAUGCCACUUGGAUAUAAAAUGAGAACAUAUAGUAAUAUUGAAGACUUGUAAUUGUGGUCCAAGAAACUGCGCAAAUUACAAAAGGCCUACUCUCAUCCUUUGAAGUAAUUGUGAUGAGUAAAUAUAUCGAAAGCUUACUUAAGUAUAUGAAAUUAUUUCGGAAAACUAAACAAAAUGUCUAUUGGAUCAAGAUUACCUAACUUCUUCUUCCUUCUACUUCACUUUUCUUCUUCCAUACUCAAGACACUAAUUGUGGUUGUUGUUGUUAGGGAAAAUUACCCAUAUAAGCAAACAUAUAAUAGUUAAUUACUUAGCAUAACUAUAGUUUGCCUUAUUUAUAAUUCGCGGUCUACUUUUAGCUAUAAUUACGCAGCUCAACUUUUUAGUUUUGUAUAAUUCGCACGUUUGUAUAAUUCAGAUUUUGUAUAAUAUAAUUUGUAUAACUUUUGUAUAAUUCGUAAUUUGUAUAACUGUUUACACUUCUGAUGUUUGUAAUUGUAUAUAUUCGUUAUUUUGAAUUUAUACAAAAAUAAUUGAAUUAUACAAAUGUACCGGCGAAUUAUACAAACCUAUGAAUUUAUACAAAUCCGCGAAUUAUACAAACGAGAUAGCUUAAAUUGUAGCUACAACCCAUAAAUAUGCAAACUAUAACUAUGGAACUUAAUUAAGUUUAUUAUAGUGGCUAUUUGCGAAAAUUCCUCUUGUUGUUACUGCUUCUGCUAUUGGUAUAACAACCGGUACAUCAUAGGUUAGCCCAACCCAGUCCUCUCGUAUUAGGGUUGGCUCCUCGCAGUUCUCCCUUUAACACCAACAAUUACGUCAUCCAUAAAUCUUUUUUUUAUUUCAAAAUAAUGAUACGCUCUAAAAAAGUAAAGGAGAAGCUUCCAUUCUAGAAAAUCUUCUCUCAAAAAGAGAGAGACCUGAGAUUACAGAGGAAGGUAUUCGGUAGAAAAAAGAUACGAUAGUCAGAACAGCUUUAGUCCAAAAUUGACUAAGGACAGAAGCAAGCUACAAGCCUCUUCUUCUUCUUCUUUCUUUUUUUGUUGCUUUCCUUCUUCAUCCUCUUAUUCUUCCGUACUCGGACAUUAAUUUUAAAAUUUGAUGUGCCGCAAAUAUGAGUUAUUUUGGAUGAAUAAUAUAUUAAAAGACUUUAAACAUUGAGAGGAGUUUAUAUCUAAAUUUUGAGACUAUCUAGAGGAGAUUUCAGUUGGCUGGGAUUAUAUAUAAAAAAAAAAGUUUGCAAUGUAUACUUUAUUGUAUCAACAAUGUAUAUAAAUGUAUAUACAUCUCUAAUACAUAAUUUUAAAUCAUCUAUACACGAUUAUACAUUAUUUAUUCAAUUUUUUUUAAAAUUUUUUUUCCAUGUCUGGGGUGUUAUAUAUCGGAAUAUGCAUACAAGAGAGGGGGUUGGCCUUACCUCCGAACAUAACACAAGGAUACAAAUUUAUCCUUCAAAAAGCGGGCAGAUGAAGCUAUCUUAGACCAUCCAACCCUCGCAAAAAGAACAAUCUAUCUGGCUAACUAACAAAAAAAUUGCCUUGUCAUAUUUGAGACUUAUAGAAGGCAUUUGGUUCUUGUCAAGUUGGAAUGGACCCAUAGCCCCCAUUGGAAGUUGUUGAUAGGUGUCAUAAUAGGCCUCAUUCUGAUUGCUCGCGGCUAAUUUAGCAAGAUGGUUUGCAACCGUAUUGACCUCCCUGAAACAGUGUUCUACCUUGACAUUAGCAAGUUUCUUUAGAUAUUGAACCUCUUCAAUGAUCCUUAAUAGUUUAUAAUUAUAGCAUUUGUUCUCGUUGAUCAUUUGGACAAGAGAUAAUGAAUCCAAUUCAAGGGUAAAGUCUCUAUAAUUCAAAAGUAUACAUCUGCUAACACUUUUUCUUUCAUCAGUAAAUAAUUGCUUAGCUUAUUAAUAUUUCAUUGGACAGUAAAUAAUUGCUUAGCUUAUUAACAUUCCAAGCACCAUCAGAAAUGAAGUUGUUAACCAAGGUGCUAACACUUUUUCUUUCAUCAGGAUAUAUAGUAACUUGCAAGAGGACCUUUUCACUCCAAUCAUCCCACCAGAAGCUACUCACUCCAUCCUGAAUUAAUUUGCCAAAUAUAAUCAUGUGCUUUUCCGCGCUGCUCCUUACUUGAGUCAUCAUCUUCCACAAAUGUGAAUUACCAGAAGCCCACUUUUUAGUAGUACAGUGAGCUCUAACACAAUAUUUAUGUUUCAAAAAGGUACGUAGCCAUACAUACAUGCAUGUUGAUACAUUAUAUAUACAACCAUUAUAAAAUAAUUUUUGUUACUUGUACAUAUUUAUAAGUAACCCAAAUUAUUUAGUAAAGUCACUGAAUUUAGUGUGUAUCAAUAAAAUCACUCUACAUGAUUUGUAUCAUAUAUGAAGCCACUUGUUUGAUUAAAUGACUUAUCAAUGGUCAUAUUAUUCUAUUGUUAAAAAGAGCAUUUUUAGAAACAAAAAAAAAAAGUUGUUUCAUUCGUACACAAUAUUUUUACGUAAUCUUUGGAACGCAUCGUGGCUACAUUUAUUUUUCAGUACUAUAGUAUAGUACAUAUACACGUAAAAGAAAUAUCUAAAAAGCCUUAUUUUUAGACAAGUACCGGAGAUGGCUUUGAUUUGUAUAGUGCAUAAAUUAAUUACCACUAAGCUUAAGAUAAUAGAGGGGGAAUACUUUGUUCAUUUCUAAAGAAAUUUGUUGGAUCAAUUUUUGUCUUCACUUUCACCAAUCUAUCAAAGUUAUUCUUGAAAUAUUUCACUCCCCAAAUUCUUGUUUGUUCAUAGCUUGUGUUUCCAAUAAUAUUGUUCAUUCCUAAAUCAAGAUCUCUAUAGUUGAAAUAAGCAGCUCUUGGAGAUUUUGACACAUACUUAGCCAUGUAUCGAUAAAGUUUUCGAUUCCAAGCUAUGUUUCUCUUAGAAUUUUCCAUUUUCACCCAAAAUACUGCAUACUCGAUCAUGAAUAUAUUUCCAGCUCUAUGAGGGAAAGGAGUUUUAGAUUCUGAGAUUUCACUCAACUUUCCUCCAUAAGGACUAAACUGUAAUUCAACACCCGAAUUUUCGCCUAAUUGAUUGUAUAGUUUCCAUAUACCUUCAAGACCAUUUAUAGAAAUUGGGUGUUGGACAUAGUCUGAUUUCCCUUUGAAAUAGUACUCUUGAUUAGUUGUGCUAUUCCAAUCUAGUAACACAUCAAGUGAUGUGCCCCUAGGGAAACCCGCCAAGAAGAGUAUAGAUUCGAUCCAACUCAUCUCAAUGCAAUCUUCUUUCACUAACCCUAGUUCUGGGAAGCUCUUUUGCAUUUCGCGGAGGAGUUUAUCUACUCCUCCAACAAACAUUGUAGUGAAAAAGGCGUUGACAGUCAUUUGUCCAUGCCUGAAUGGAGAUUCAAUAUUGCUCCUCAGGAAGAUCCUGAGGAGGAGAUUGUCAUCAACUUUGUCCGCGAUAUGUUGCCAUUUGUAGACUAAUUGAGUUACAUUUUGUUCCAACCUUCGUGUCACAUUGAACACGGUUACCUUUUCAGGAAUGUCGACUAAUUUCACCUUCCAUGAGAUAAUGAGACCAAAACUAGUCCCUCCACCUCCUCUAAUAGCCCAAAAGUGAUCCUCACCCAUUGAUUCUCGAUCCUUGAUUAGUCCAUUAGCAUCGAUCAAUUUUGCAUCAAUGAUGUUAUCAGCAGCAGUACCGAACUUUCGUGACAUCAUGCCAUAGCCUCCACCACUAAAGUGUCCACCAACACCAACUGUUGGGCAAACCCCAGCAACUACGGCCAAAUUUUUACUUUUUUGAGCAAUUCUAUAGUAAACUUCCCCUAGGGUCGCACCAGCUUGAAUCCAAGCAGUCUUUUUUUGGGUAUCAAUGGAUAUUGAUCUUAGGUUCCUAAGAUCAAUUAUGAAAAAGGGUGUCUCCGAAGUGUGUGAAAGACCCUCAUAGUCAUGUCCACCACUUCGAAUUCUGAUUUGUAGGUCAUGUAUCUUGGAGCAAUGUAUAGCUGCCUGGAUUUGAGAUUCGUUGGUGGGAGUGAAAAUAAUUGAUGGUUUGAAGUCGGAGGUUAUCCUUAGGUUAUCUGUAAAGGAGUUCAAAAUGGUGGAAUAUGAAGAGUUUUUAGGAGUGUGGAUGACUUGUGAUAUUGAGUUUGAGUUCAUAAUUUUGUGAGUAAGACAUUCAAGAAAGUCAUCAUGAGUUUUGUUGGCCCAUGAUGAUGAAAAGCAAAUUAAGAGAAAGAGAAGGAUUGUUAACUUGUUGAAACUAGUCAUAAUUGAUUAUUUGUUGUUGCAAAGUUUGAUACUGGAGAAAAUAGAAACUAACAACUUCUACUUAUAGUUUUAGCUAGGGGGGAAUUAAAGAAGCUUAAUUAGUUUCAAAUCCUAAUACCUCUAAUUUAUUGGAUCACAAAUACAAAUGAAACUUCCAAGCACCAAAAGGAUUAGUCAAUUGUGAUGUUUAUUCAUAUAAAAGAUCUUCCUCAUGCCUAACGUGGGUUAUUUGUUUAUAUUUUUAUCUUAUGGUCAUAACAUGCGUAUAAUUAUUUAUAUAUCAUUGAUAACGAUCAAUAAAACUAAUUAGACAAAAAAAAAUUCUCCUAUUUUGAAUUUUACAUAUCUUCUAGAUUUGAUUAUAAUAGCCUACUUUCAUAUAAUUGUAUGGUCGAAUAGAUAAGAUUAUCUACUAUAAUGGAUAUUAUCAAUGUAUUAUAAAGAAAUUUGUGUAGAAAACUUAAUAUUUCCUCUGCAUUAUUGGAACAUAAAGUUUAAACAAAUAUUCUAGUCAUUAACGUACACGUUUGUCCGACUUGAUUUUUUAAAUGUCAAACUAUACCUUAAUAAGAAAUUAUAAUUUUUCUAUAUUUAUGAAAAUUGAUGGGGUUUUGUGUCAAACUUCCAAUAUGUCUAUUAUCCCAAAAAUAUCAUUUACCAAAUCCACUUUGACCUUUAGAUGAUAAAUAUGGAUAAAGAUGUUAAUACGAAAAUAUCAAGAUAAAUUUCUACAUAUAUAAUAUAUUGUACAUAUAUCUCCACGGGUAUAAAAUGAGAAGGUAUAAUAAUAUUGACGACUUGUAAUUGUGGUCCAAGACACUGCAUAAAUUAUAAUAUAGGGGUGUCAAAAAUGAACCCAAACAUAGGUUAUAACUCGCCUAACCCGUCCAGAAUUUUAAAGGCUGGGUUCAAUUUCAACCCAUUCAAGCUUAACCCAUUUUAAGAGAAUCCUCAAUUGAGCUCAAUUCAAUCUUCAAUUUCAACCCAUUUUAAAAUUAUUUACUAAGAUAUGUUCCUAUAUUAAAGAUAUGAAUUAUUAUUCUAUUUUAACAUCUUUUAGGAUUUAUCUAUCCAUUUGUUACUUUUUUUAAAAAAAAUCUUGUAGCGAAAAUUCGAAUUGUGAUUAUAAAAGUUAAAUAUCACUAUAUUAAAAUUAUUGAGAUUAAUCGGGUCAAAUUGGGCCGGUCAAGACCCAACCCCUUUUUUAGCCCAUUUGAACCCAAAGUAAAUUUGGGCGGGUCAAGACCCAACCCGAUUUCUAUCUCAACCCAUUUUAAUAUCUCCAAUUUCAACCCAACCUGUCCAUUUGACACCCCUAAGUAAAUAUCUCAAAAGGUUAUAACUCAAGUAUGUAAAAUUAUUAAACAAAGUCAUUAAAUUUAGUUUUGUAUCGAUAAAAUCACUCAACUUAUGACUUUCCUCUUACAAAAUUUGUCACGCCUCGACGGGAUCGACACUUAAUUCGAUUAUUUACCCGAGCAUAUCCAUACAUAACAUGAAACAUUGAGAGCAUACAUCUAGACAUGAGCGGAAAAUAUGAUUUAAGAGCAUUUGUGAAAAAUUGUCACGACUCAGACUGUUGUGAUUGGCACACACACUAACCCUCCGAUGGGAAAAUCACUACUACAACUCAAAUCAAGCAAAUAAACCAAAAACUAAAGCAUUUAAGUUACGAAAGUAAGUUAAAUAGCUAAAGACUAAAGUUCUCAUAAACCUCCAAAAGAUCUAACAACUAAACAAUGCGGAAAAACACAUAGAACCUGAAAGUCAAUGUACCAAAACAUCUAAAGUUCAACAAGUCUAAACAAGAAGGGAUACUACCCCAAACUAAUGACUAAUAACUAACUAGAAAGUCUAAGUCCGAAAUGUGGACAUAGACGGAAAGAGAACUCAUGGCAGCCUGGAAGAACUGGCUCACCUUUAAAUUCGAACGACGAUCACUAAUCUUCUAAGCGAGGUCUGUCAAUAGCCGCCUGAAGAUGCCAUGUACUUAACAAAGAGAGAGCAAGUGCAGUAUCAGUACACAACCACAGUGUACUGGUAGGAUCACACUGCUAUCCCACUAAGUGCAACAUACAUAAGUCAAGACAACAAUACAAUAACAUACAUACACCAAACAUAUACAAUAUUAUCAUCAUUAUACGAACAAUGAACAAUUUCACGAUUCUCAAAUAUCACAGUUAUAUCAUGUCAUUAGUCCUCUCAUGUAACCCAAACACAAAUUGUUAGCAUACCGGAACAUGGUACCCGAUCCAAUGAUUAUGCCGGAACGUGGCAACUGAUCCCAUAAUUAUGCCGGAACGUGGCAACCGAUCCAAGUUAGUGUGUCGGAACGCAACACCCAAUCCAUUCAACAAGCCACAACACAAUCGCAAAGUACAUUAUCAUAAUCAUACAAUCAAGUCAUGAUUCAUGGCAUUCAUCAUUCAUAUAUCCUCAUUUACAAUUAAUGUGAUCAAUAACACAACAUUCGCAUGCAUACAUGUAUCAUAAUGAAGAAAGAACAAACAUGCAUCACACCAUCAUAGAAUCACAACCAUCACCUACCUCGAAAAUAAGCUUGAAACCCUAAGAAACUUGAUCUUUCCCUUUCCGGAUUCGUUCCGCUUGUUCUUGGUCUACAAACAAUCAAUAUAAUACGGGAAUCAAUAAAUAAUCACUAAUUACCCGGAUUACUAACAAUUCUAACAACCCUAGAUCAUACCCAUGAUCCCACUACCCAAACUAGGGCUUUUUCCACCAUAAAUUUCAUAUCAAAACCUCCCCCCAUCGAUAAGUACCCAUUAGAUUACGUUCUAAAUAUUGAAAAACGGAUUCGGGGAGAUAAAACCUUACCUUUAGCCUCAAGAAUGGUGGAAAACUGUCAAGAAAACACAUGGGGUCAUUCCUUAGCUCUUAAAGUCGAAAAGUGCAUAAUAAAAUGUUUUUGGGGUUUAUUUCCGACUUAAGUCGUGUCGGACCCGCCACAACGGUCCUCACCCCGCUACAACGGCCCCGCCCUGGCGCCAGAAACCACCGCCAAAGCGGCUUGCACGAAACAAUGAGCAAAUUAAAGAAUUUCAACCCCCAUUUCACAACACUCCUUCAACCAACGACACUUAGAAACUACCUGCUCACGCUAAGAUCAAUUUCAGGAGUUCUACUCACCCGAAUUCAAUUCUGUAAAGUCGUACGGGUUCCUUAACGACUUAUCUAACUACUCAUGUAACCAAAAUCAUAAUUAGAUCACCCAAUUUCUACCAGAUUUCCCUAGACUUCAAUGACUCUGAUUUCAUCCAAAUCUGGACUAGGUUGAGAAAUUCUAAGAUACUACGAAAAAAAAUUCCGGCCCAAAAUUUUUUCCCGUUGACUUUUCUAUAACGACGAGAAUAGGUCGUUACAAAAAUGAGUUUCUUAAAGGGGUACUUUCCAUAUAUCAUAAUACUAAAAUUCAUAAAAUGAUAGGGAAGUCAAGAAUUGAAAUACAUAUUACUAACUGUCUAUGAAACCCCUCUAAAAUAACUGGAAACUACAUGCAAGGACAAGACCCUAGCAUACCUUUAACAGGAUAUGUUAAAGUAUCACAAGUAAGCACUAAUCCCUAGGCACCAAUACAACAUGAAGUGUAGAGCCUAGCAUGUUGUUUGAUCGUGUGUUCGCAUACCUAAAUCUGCAUCAUUUAAAGAUGUAGCGCCCUCAACAAAAAGAACGAAGUAGAUAUGAAAUUAUAUUGCAUGUAAAAUGGCAGAAUGAUACAUGACAUAUAUCAUAAGAGAAACCAAACAACCAAUAGAAUAAUAAUUAUGGCAUGGAAGGAAAUAAAUAAACAAAAGUCAUUAAGUCUGUCAUCGCAAAUAGUUCGAGAGUUAAUUAAUAUAACCGACACAUUCCAUCACAUGAGCACAUGGAUUCUGAUCUCAACUUAAUAAGCUAAAACAUCUCACAUUUCGAGUGUGAGACAUACAUACAUAUCAUGUGAAUCUAUAAUCAACCCUUAUCAAGGCUACAUAAAGGAAUCGCCCGAACCAAAGAUAUGAUCUUUAAUCAACGUCGACAAAUGUAGUCUCAGACAUUCAUCUCUUAGAUUUAUGCCUUACUCGAUUAAUCAUUUAACUCCUUUGAAUUAUAUAGCAUGUUCAUAAGUUAAGUCUGGUGGCUCAUAUUCAUAAGUUUUGCAUUUCGUGCAUCAUAGCUUGAAACCAUGAAAAACAUAUCAUGUCAUAAGGGUCGUAUCAUAAAUAUUAAUUGAUAUCAAAAGUAAUCAACGAACUUACUUUUUAAAUAGAACUCAUUUCUUUCAUAUUCAUUCAAACAAGUUGUAAACUUGAGAUAAUAGAGGAGGAAUGCUUUGUUCAUUUCUAAAGAAAUUUGUUGGAUCAAUUUUAGUCUUAACUUGCACCAAUCUAUCAAAGUUGUUCUUGAAAUAUCUCUCUCCCCAAAUUCUUGCUUGUGCAUAGCUUGUGCUUCCAUUAAUAUUGUUCACUUCUAAAUCAAGAUCUCUAUAAUUGAAAUCAACAGCUCUAGGAGAUUUUGAUACAUACUUAACCAUGUAUACGUAAAAUUUUCGACUCCAAGCUACAUUUCUUUGAGAAUUUUAAUGUUUCCCCAAUACACCGCAUAUUCGAUCAUGAAUAUAUUUACAACUCUAUGAGGGAAAGAUCAGAUUCUGAUAUGUCACUCAACUUUCCUCUGUAAGGAUUAAACUGUAAUUCAGCACCCAAGUUUUCGCCUAUUAAUUGGUUGAAUAGUUUCCAUAUACCUUCAAGACAAUUUAUAGAAAUUGGUUGUUGGACAUAGUCUGAUUUCCUUUGAAGUAUCCUCUUUGCUUAGUUGUGGUAUUCCAAUUUAGCAACACAUCAAGUGAUGUGCCCCUAGGGAAACCGACAAAGAAGAGUAUCGAUCUAAUCCAACUCAUCUCUAUGCAAUCUUCUUUCAUCAAUUCUAGUUCCGGGAUCCCCCAACGAACACUGUAGUGAAAAAGGUAUAGUCCUUUGCCCACCCCGAAUGGAAAUUCACUAUUUCUCAAGAAGAUCCUGAGGAGGAGAUUGUCAUCAACUUUGUCUGUGAUAUGUUGCCAUUUGUCAAUAAGUUGUGUUGCAUUUUAUUCCAACGUUCAUGGCACAUAUUGAUUCUCAAUCAUGGAUUCGCCCAUUAGUAUCAAUUAGCUUAGCAUCAAUGAUGUUUUCAACAAAAGUACCAAAUUUUCGUGACAUCAUGCCAUAGCCUCCAUAACGAAAGUGUCCACCAAUACCAACAGUUGGGCAAAUCCCAGCAACAAAGGCCAAUUCGUUUACUUUUUUCCGCGAUUCUAUAGUAAACUUCAUCCACACUCCUAAAAUCUCAUGGAGCAGGCUUAUCAUUUUUGACACAUGUUAUGAUCUUAUUGGCUUCUUGUUUGACUUGGCAUUCCACAUUAUUUGUCACAUGAUACCAAACUGGGCCCCUACGAUGAUAUUAAAUUGGACUUAACCAACUGGGUUAAUCCAUUGUAGCCCAAAUCAAUUAAUUUAGGCUUUAAUUAAAUUCAUAUUUAUUAGACUUAAAUAAUUAACCGAAUUAUAUUAAUCUAUUAUAUUUAUUUGGACUAAUAUAUUCAUGAAUUUAAUAUAAUCCGAAUCAUUUUAUAAAUUUAUAUUUAAUACAUUUUAAAUGCUUACACAUAUAUAGGCAUGUUUAAAUGCAUGUGUUGAAUAUAUAACUAAAACAUUUUUAAUACAAAUGUAUUAUAAGUAUUUUGUGUGAAGUUCAAAUAUUACGGUAUAAUUUAAAUUAAUUUUACGUUGUUAAAAUGUAUUAUAUUUGUUGGGAUAACAACAAUAAAAUUUAUAACAAUGUAUAAUAUUGAAUUCAAAUUGUAUUACAACUAUAGUUUAUAUAAUAACACAUAAACUAAUUUGAAUAAUUUUUUGAAUAUUGAAAUUCAGGUAUAUAUCUUUUUAAUAUCGUUUAAUAAGAGAAAAAAUAAAAAAUAAUUAUAAUACAUUUUGAAUUCAAUAUUUGAUACCAUUGGUAUCAAGGAGUAAAUUAGUAGUGGUUUCAUAUAUAUAUAUAUAUAUAUAUACACACUUGAUACAAUCAGAGUAUAUAUAUAUCCUAAUGGUAUCAAGAGUAAAUUAGUAGUUUUUUCUCUGAAUAACUCUUUCAUACCACCAGAGUAUAUAUAUACUUUAAUAGUAUCAAGAAGUAAUUUAGUUAUAUAUACUCUGGUAGUAUCAAAUAUAGAUUUAGUUAAAAUUGAUACCAUCAGGAUAUAUACAUAAUUGGUAUACCACCAGGGUAUAUAUAUAACCUAAUGGGAUCAAGGAGUAGUUGAGUAGUAUUUUCAUUGAAUUACUCUUUGAUACCAUCAGAGUAUAUAUAUACUAUAUACUCUGAUGGUAUCAAGGAAUAACUUAGUAAUGUUUUCACUGAAGUGAGUUUUUCUUCCUUGAUACUACCAGAGUAUGCUUCCUUGAUACAAUCGGAGUAUAUAUAUACUCCAAUGGAAUCAAAUAUCAAAUGGUUAUUAAAGUUAAAGUUAUGUCAUCAAUGAUAAUAAAUAAAAAGGUUGUUUAGUGGGAUAGUUGAGAUCCCUCCACACUUAAUCAGAUGCCUCGGUAAUAAGAAUCGGGUUACCAGAAUAAAUAAAAGAUGCACAUACUUCCUCAUGUUUAACAUGAUACAACAUAGAACGAGUGCGAUAAUAUAUUAAUAGUAUAAGAAAUUCAAAGAUAAAAUUUCUUUGGACUUAGUGACACAAAGUAAUUUUCAAGAGCAAAUAGAAUGUGAAUAUCAGACACUAAAACUGGGUAGAAAACAAAAAAAAUAAUACACCCUCUAUCCCAUGUGACUUACUUUUAUUUUUAGUCAGUUCCAAAAAUAAUAACACAUUUCUAUAUUAAGUAACAAUUUAACUAUAACAUAUUUAUUUUACCCUUAAUGAAAUGAUUUACACACACACAAAUUUCUAUCAUUCAUUUUGGACCACAAGAUUUAAAAGUCUUUCUUUCUUUCUAUAACUCUGUGUCGAGUCAAACUACCUCACAUAAAAUGGGGCAGAAGGAGUAAUAAUUAUGACCCUAAAAUAGAAUGUGAAUACCAGACACUAAAACUGGGUAGAAAACAAAAAAAUAAUUAAUAAUUAUGACCCUAAAAGAAAAAUAAGAAUAAAAACAAAUAAUCCACGUUAGCCAUGAGGAAGCCCCUGCAUCUUCCAUGUGAAUAAAACUAAUAUUCGUGUAUUUUCUCCCAAGCUAAAACUAUAAAUACAAGUUGUUAGUUUCCAUUUAGUCCAACAAUUAUGACUAAGUUAACAAUCUUUGUUUUUCUCUCAAUUUGGUUUUCAUCAUCAUAUUCAAGGUCCAACAAAAUUCAUAUUGAUGACUUUCUUCAAUGCCUUUCUCACAAAAUUAUAAACUCAAACUCAUCACAAAUCAUCCACACUCCUGAAAACUCAUCAUAUUCCACCCUUUUUAACUCCUUUUUUUCAGAUAAUCAAAGGAUAACCUCCAACUUCAAACCAUCAAUUAUUUUCACUCCUACCAAAGAAUCUCAAAUCAAGGCAGCUAUACGUUGCUCCAAGAUACAUGGCCUACAAAUUAGAAUUCGAAGUGGUGGACAUGACCAUGAGGGACUAUCAUACACUUCGGAGACCCCUUUUUUCAUAAUUGAUCUUAGAAACCUAAGAUCAAUAUCCAUUGAUACCCAAAAAAAGACUGCUUGGGUUCAAGCUGGCGCGACCAUAGGGGAACUUUACUAUAGAAUCGCCCAAAAAAGUAAAAAAUUAGCCUUUCCUGCUGGGGUUUGCCCCAAUGUUGGUGUUGGUGGACACUUUAGUGGUGGUGUUAAGAUGAGAGGUUUGAGAAGACGAAACCUCCAUUGAUGAUGAGAGCAUAAAGCUUGAUUAGAGAAGAAGAAUGAAAUUCUGCAUUCUGAAUUAAUUGUGUACAAUGGUAUUGUGACACUAAAACAUUAGUGAAUCUGACGGAGUGUUGUAAAUCUGGGGGUUGAUCAGAGAUCAUUGAAAAUUCAGUCAUACUCUUAGUUAAUUUAUCGAUUUUAUUAUUGAAUUGUUAAUUGAGUUCUGCUUACAUGAAACAAAACAAGAUUGAUUAUUGUUACCAUUUCUGAAAAGGGCAUUUUUUCAUUAUAUUUUUUUAUUAAUAUAAAUAUUUGUGGUUAAUUGUAAAUAUUGAUUGAGCUAGCGAAUCACUCCCUACUAUAUUAUAUUACAGAGAUCACAAGUGACGUCGAUAUAUAAGGCUUUAUCUAGCUAGAGUGCACGAGUUGACAAAUUCUUGGUUAGCAGGAAUUUCUUUGUGCGGGAAAGAAAUUAUUUAUUUGAUAUCAUCCUUUUCUUUUAAAAUCUUGCUUCAUUAGUCAUUUCUCUAAAAAAAAUUGUUUCGUUAAAAAUAUGUUUAAAAUUAAUGAUCUUAUAAUUAUAACUAUUGGUUUUUUUUCAUAGACAAUAAUUGCACUAUUCAACUAUGAAAUUUAGGUUGUAGCCAUUUGAAUAUAUAUUUUUUGUGACAAAAUUUCAUUGUGGCUAAAUUGUAGGUUAAAUAGAGACAAUAAUACAAUUGUCUCUAAUUGUUUGAACUAUUAGUGACAAAAACAAAUGUCACAAUAAAAUACAAAGUCGCAAAUGUAUCAAUAUAAUUUUUGCGAUAAUUUUUUUUUGUAUCCAAAAUUUAAAUAAUUUUAGGAUAAAAAAUGAUUCCUCACUAAUGUAUCAAUAUAUUUUUUGCGACAAAAAUUUUUUGUAUCCAAAAUUUAACUAAUUUUAGGACAAAAAAUUAUUUGUCGAAAAUGUAUCAAUAUAAUUUUUGCGACAAAUUUUUUGUAUCCAAAAUUUAACUAAUUUUAGGAUAAAAAAUUAUUCGUCACUAAUGUAUCAAUAUAUUUUUUGCGACAAAAAUUUUUCGUAAUCAAAAUUUAACUAAUUUUAGGACAAAAAUGGUUUGUUACUAAUGUCUCAAUUUAUUUUUUGUGACAAAAAAAUUUCGUAUCCAAAAUUUAACUGAAUUUAAGACCAAAAAAAGUGCUUUAUCACUAAAUCGGAACAUCAUUAGUGACAAAAUAAUGUGUUAGUGAUAACUCUAAAUUCGUGACUAAUAGUACUCAAUAUAUGGUGUCAAACCAUUUUUUGGUGUGAAACUUUAGUGGACAAAACUUUGUUACGAAUCUUCACGUUUCGUCACUAAAAGUAUGUGUCUCAUAUAUUUAGGCACGAAAUAUAAUUUUUGUCACUAAAAAUGAACAAUUAAUGACGAAUAUCGUAGCUAAUAAUUUUGUAGUUAUAUAUCACAUUUGUUGUAAUGGUUUGUUCUUCUUUAAGAACACCAAAUACACAUGAAGAACAUAAACAACUCCAAAAUUUUCAAUAUCUUCAAUUCUUCACCAAAUCAUCUCAAAUUUCGGCUACAUUAUUAAUUUUUUUAGUAAACUAAAAUUCUAAAAUCAUUUGUAGUGUUUAAAAAAUUCAUCCGUAUUAAAAAAUAUUUCAAAAAAAUGAAAAUCAGUCCCAAAAUUUCAAAAAUUUGCUUUAGUUCAUGUUUUUGAAGUUGUCUUUUGACAUUAGAUCUUUGUUACCUAGUGUUUUUCGAGUGUAUGUUCAAAAUUUCAAAUGAUUUGAAGUUGUGGAGAAAAAUCUACAAUUAAAAAAUGUUGAAGUUUAGAAACUUUGAAGAAAUUUCAAGUGGAUCUUGUUGAGUUAGGUUGAAUCCGCGAUAAAAAAAUAUUGAGUUUUGGUAUCUAGCUCGGAAGGAAACUACUCUUGAAAUUUGAGGUGAUUUCGUGAAGAAUCAAAGAAGUUUGAAAUUUGGGAAUUGUUAAUGUUGUUUAUGUAUUCUUGGUGUUCUUAAGGAAGAUAAAGCAAAAAAAGUACAUUUGAUCCAAAAACUUCAAUUGAAAAGUGUUAAACCUUGUUUGGGGUGUAAAAAGUGGUUUGCAAAACCAGAGUUAAAAAAUGACAUAGAUGAGCCUUUUCUUUAACAACAAUGGCAUAGAUGAGCCAAACUUUUAACGGAUGGUAUAAAUGAGUCUUUUCUGAAAAUUAGAUGGCAUAUUUGAGACUUUUCCCAAUUAAUAAUACCGAAUAACUUGUUUCCAACCAAACAAUCCAUUUUUUAAAUAAUAUGCCAUACCCAUGGCAAACGUGGAUUAUUUGUUUUUAUUUUUUAAUUUAGGGUCAUAACACGAGUAUUAUUAUUUAUAUUAUUGAUAAGGUAAAACUAAUUAGACAAGAUAUUUUUCCUUUGAUAUAGUUGCAUAGUCAAAUAGAUAGAAUAUCUACUACAACGGAUAUUAUCACUUAAACUAUGUCGCUCUUAAUAAAUAAAUUUGUGUAGAAAACUAAACGUUUCCACUUCAUUUUUUUUCUAUGUAGUGUUCGGUAUCCACAUUGGAGUCUCACUAAAUUUAAAUUUUCAUUGAGAAGUCCCACAUUCGGGGGCAAAACACUCUCUAACAAAGACGAUUUCGUACCUAAAGAAACUCGAUGUUGAACUAGACCUUAAUAAGAAAUUUUAAUUUUCUAUAAAUAUAUGAACAUUGAUGGGGUUUUGUAUCAAACUUCCUCUAUGUAUAUUGUCUCAAAACUAUGAUUGACCAAAUCCACUUUGACUUUUAGAUGAUAAAUAUGGAUAAUAGAUGCUAUCAGAUGGAAAAUAUGAUGAUAAAUCUCUACAAAUAUUGUACAUAUCUCCACAGGUAUAAAAUGAGAAGGUAUAAUAAUAAUGAAGACUUGUAAUUUUUCAAGACAUUGAGUAAAUUACAAAGUCUACUCUCCUACAAUGAAUUUAAAACGUCUAAAUUCUUAUAAUUGUGACGAGUAAAGAUUUCAAAAGGUUGUUUAAGUAUGUAAAAUUAUUAAACAAAAUCAUUGAAUUUAGUUUUGUAUCAAUAAGACACUUAUUAACUUAUGACCGUCUUCUUACAAAAUAUGUCACGCUCCGAAUCUACAUUUUGGACAGAAUCAACACCCGAUUUGAUUGUUGACCCGAGUAUCUUAGUCAAUUUAUUCCUACUCGGACCGAAGCGGAAAUAGCCUAGGUUAUUGCCAUUCUUGCUUCUCCUCUUCUUCUUCUAUCUAAGGACAAGGCGGAACUUUUUCUCUAUGUAGGGGGUAGGAAAAAGAAAGAGUUGCAAAAUAUAUAAAAUGAUAUAACUAAUACUCACAUAACUAAUACCUACAUAAUUCUAAUUAACCAGUUACCAAACGACCGACGAGUGUUGCGUUAGUUUUUAUUAACUCAUACUGAUGUACAAGUCCGCGAAUUCUAACAUGAAGAACAUUUAAUAUAUAGAAAAUUUAUUACUUGAAAAAAAUUCAUAAAUCAAACAAUACAUAUCUUACACAAUCUUUGAAUGCUACAUCUAUUUUUUAGUACUAUAUAAUAUAUAAAUUAACUACCAUAUAUUAUAACCUAGAAGUUGAACACACUCAAGAACAAUAAUCACAAACACCAAUAAACAAGUUAAUUAAGCUUAAGAUAAUAGAGGAGGAAUACUUUGUUCAUUCCUAAAGAAAUUUGUUGGAUCAAACUUAGUCUUCACUUGUACUAAUCUAUCAAAGUUGUUCUUGAAGUAUUUCUCCCCCCAAAUUUUUGCUUGUUCAUAGCUUGUGUUUCCAUUAAUAUUGUUGAAUCCUAAAUCAAGAUCUCUAUAGUUGAAAUAAGCAGCUCUAGGAGAUUUUGAUACAUACUUAGCCAUGUAUCCAUAAAGUUUUCGACUCCAAGCUAUAUUUCUUUGAGAAUCUUCAAUUUUUCCCCAAUACACCGCAUAAUCGAUCAUGAAUAUAUUUCCAGCUCUAUGAGGGAAAGGAAUUUCAGAUUCUGAGAUGUCACUCAACUUUCCUCCAUAGGGACUAAACUGUAAUUCAGCCCCCGAGUUUUCGACUGCUAAUUGGUUGAGUAGUUUCCACAUACCUUCAAGACCAUUUAUAGAAAUUGGUUGUUGGACAUAAUCUGAUUUCCCUUUGAAGUAUCCUCUUUGAUUAGUUGUGGUAUUCCAAUUUAGCAACACAUCAAGUGAUGUGCCCCUAGGGAAACCGGCAAAGAAGAGUAUUGAUUCGAUCCAACUCAUCUCAAUGCAAUCUUCCUUCACUAACCCUAGUUCCGGGAACCUAUCUUCCAUUUCGUGGAGGAGGUCAUCACCUCCUCCAACGAACAUUGUAGUGAAAGAGGCGUAGAUAGCCCUUUGCCCACCCCCGAAUGGAAAUUCAGUAUUUCUUAGGAAGAUCCUGAGGAGGAGAUUGUCAUCAACUUUGUCAACGAUAUGUUGCCAUUUGUAAACAAGUUGAGUUGCAUUUUGUUCUAACGUUCGUGGCACAUUGAACACAGUCACCUUUUCAGGAAUAUCGAGUAAUUUCACCUUCCAUGAUAUAAUAAGACCAAAGCUAGUCCCUCCACCUCCUCUAAUAGCCCAAAAGAGAUCCUCACCCAUUGAUUCUCGAUCCUGAAUUCGUCCAUUAGCAUCGAUUAAUUUUGCAUCAAUGAUGUUAUCAGCAGCAGUACCAAAUUUCCGUGACAUCAUACCAUAUCCUCCACCACUAAAGUGUCCACCAACACCAACAGUAGGGCAAGCCCCAGCAACAAAGGCCAAUUUAUUACUGUUUUCUGCGAUUCUAUAGUAAACUUCCCCUAGGGUCGCGCCAGCUUGAAUCCAAGCAGUCUUGUUUUCAGUGUCAAUGGAGAUUAAUCUUAGGUUUCUAAAAUCAAUUACGACGAAGGGGGUGUCCGAAAUAUAAGAAAGUCCCUCAUAGUCAUGUCCACCGCUUCGAAUUCUUAUUUGUAGGUCAUGUAUCUUGGAGCAAUGUAUAGCUACCUGGAUUUGAGAUUCGUUUAUAGGAGUGAAAAUAAUUGAUGGUUUGAAGUUGGAGGUUAUCCUUAGGUUAUGAUCUGAAAAGGAGUUAUAAAUGGUUGAAUAUGAUGAGUUUUUAGGAGUGUGGAUGACUUGUGAUGAAUUUGAGUUCAUAAUUUUGUGAGAAAGACAUUCAACAAAGUCACCAUGAGUUUUGUAGGCCCAUGAAUAUGAUGAUGAAAAGCAAAUUGAGAGAAAGAGAAAGAUUGUUAACUUAGUCAUAAUUGAUUAUUUGUUGUUGCAAAUUUUGAUGAUUGAGAAAAUGGAAACAAGAACUUCUAUUUAUACUUUUAGCUAGACAGAAAAUAAAGUGGCACGUGGUAUUAAACUAUAUAUUAAUACUUUCUCCAUUUGAAUUUAUGUGAGAAGUUUAAGAAUUUUAAAAAAAAAAAACUUAUUGUCUAAAAAUAAGUCACUGAUGUUUGCAUGAUCAUAAAUCAUUUCAAAUAAAAUAUAUAUUUUAUAAUUAAAUUAUUAUUAAAUAUAAAAAUAUAUCAUUAUUUUUCAUACUUACUAAAAAGAAAAAUGAGUCAUAUAAAUUAGAAAAAAUGAGUAAUAUUGUUGUGUUUUCACCUACUUUAUUCGAAAAACAUUUCUUAAUCCGUGAUAGAGUUUUCUUUUUUAGUUUUAAAAGGCAAAAUUGAACUCUGCGUGCAUUUUUUUUUUCGUAAUUGAAAAGUACAUAUACAUUCCAAAGAUUAGUCAAUAAUUGUUAUGCUUAUUCAUAUAUUAUCAGUUUUUAUUUUUAUAUUUUGUUCGUACUUAGCAUUAUUGGUAUAAUUAUUCAUAUCAUUGAUAACGAUCAAUAAAACAAAUCAGAGAAAAUCUUUCUCCAAUUUUUAAAUAUUACAUAUCUUAUCUUCUAGAAUUGAUUAUCAAUAUAUUAUAUAGAAUUAUAUGUCGCCUUAAAUAAAGAAAUUUGUGUAGAAAACUUCAACAUUUCCUCUGCAUUAUUGGAACAUAAAGAUUAAACAAAUACUCUAGUCAUUAAAUGUUACCAUCAUGAGUUGUGGUGCAGUGAUGAGACUGUGCCAUCCUUAUUUGAAGGUCUCGGGUUCGAGCCUUGGGUUUGGAGAAAAUUCUGUUGGGAGCAUUAUAGGUCAAACUAGACCUUAAUAAGAAAUUGUAAUUUCUUAAAUUUAUGAAAAUUGAUGGGGUUUUUUGUCCAACUUCCUAUAUGUAUAUUGUCCCAAAAUUAUCAUUGACUAAAUCCACUUUGACCUUUAGAUGAUAAAUAUGGAUAAAGCUGCUAAUAAUUUUCUUAGACGCUAUCGGAUGGAAAAAAUAUUAUGAUAAAUUUCUAUAUAUCCGCGGAAAUAAAAUGACAGUAAAAUUAAAAAAUUUACUAAGGAUAUUUAAAACUUUAGCAUAUAUUUCUAAAAAGUUGAUUUUGAUUUAUAAAUAAGUAUUAUUUUUUAUAUGCACAAUUUAAUUUUUUGACAAAAGGUGUUUGAGUAACCAUCGUUAGGACAAUAUAGCUAUGCCACUUGGAUAUAAAAUGAGAACAUAAAGUAAUAUUGAAGACUUGUAAUUGGUGGUCCAAGAAACUGCGCAAAUUACAAAAGGCCUACUCUCAUCCUUUGAAGUAAUUGUGAUGAGUAAAUAUAUCGAAAGCUUACUUAAGUAUAUGAAAUUAUUUCGGAAAACUAAACAAAAUGUCUAUUGGAUCAAGAUUACCUAACUUCUUCUUCCUUCUACUUCACUUUUCUUCUUCCAUACUCAAGACACUAAUUGUGGUAGUUGUUGUUAGGGAACAUUACGCAUAUAAGCAAACAUAUAAUAGUUAAUUACUUAGCAUAACUAUAGUUUGCCUUAUUUAUAAUUCGCGGUCUACUUUUAGCUAUAAUUACGCAGCUCAACUUUUUAGUUUUGUAUAAUUCGCACGUUUGUAUAAUUCAGAUUUUGUAUAAUAUAAUUUGUAUAACUUUUGUAUAAUUCGUAAUUUGUAUAACUGUUUACACUUCUGAUGUUUGUAAUUGUAUAUAUUCGUUAUUUUGAAUUUAUACAAAAAUAAUUGAAUUAUACAAAUGUACCGGCGAAUUAUACAAACCUAUGAAUUUAUACAAAUCCGCGAAUUAUACAAACGAGAUAGCUUAAAUUGUAGCUACAACCCAUAAAUAUGCAAACUAUANNNNNNNNNNNNNNNNNNNNNNNNNNNNNNNNNNNNNNNNNNNNNNNNNNNNNNNNNNNNNNNNNNNNNNNNNNNNNNNNNNNNNNNNNNNNNNNNNNNNNNNNNNNNNNNNNNNNNNNNNNNNNNNNNNNNNNNNNNNNNNNNNNNNNNNNNNNNNNNNNNNNNNNNNNNNNNNNNNNNNNNNNNNNNNNNNNNNNNNNNNNNNNNNNNNNNNNNNNNNNNNNNNNNNNNNNNNNNNNNNNNNNNNNNNNNNNNNNNNNNNNNNNNNNNNNNNNNNNNNNNNNNNNNNNNNNNNNNNNNNNNNNNNNNNNNNNNNNNNNNNNNNNNNNNNNNNNNNNNNNNNNNNNNNNNNNNNNNNNNNNNNNNNNNNNNNNNNNNNNNNNNNNNNNNNNNNNNNNNNNNNNNNNNNNNNNNNNNNNNNNNNNNNNNNNNNNNNNNNNNNNNNNNNNNNNNNNAAUUUAUGUUUAUUUGAUUAAUUACCUUUUUAAUGUUACCUUUUUAUUUAUUAUCAUUGAUGACAUAACUUUAACUUUAAUAACCAUUUGAUAUUUGAUACCAUCGGAGUAUAUAUAUACUCCGUUGUAUCAAGGAAGUAUAUUUUGGUGGUAUCAAGGAAGAAAAACUCACUUAAGUGAAAACAUUACUAAGUUAUUCCUUGAUACCAUCAGAGUAUAUAGUAUAUAUAUACUCUGAUGGUAUCAAGGAAUAACUUAGUAAUGUUUUCACUUAAGUGAGUUUUUCUUCCUUGAUACCACCAAAAUAUACUUCCUUGAUACAACGGAGUAUAUAUAUACUCCGAUGGUAUCAAAUAUCAAAUGGUUAUUAAAGUUAAAGUUAUGUCAUCAAUGAUAAUAAAUAAAAAGGUAACAUUAAAAAGGUAAUUAAUCAAAUAAAAUAUAUUAUUUAAGUAAAGUUUUCAAAAUCAAAUAGCAUUAGUUUCUUUUUUUUGAAAAAAUAGUAAUAUCGCCAUGAAAUCCAUUGCAGCGAUGGGAGUUGCUACUAAAGGUAGAAUGUUUUGUGGCGAUUGAAGUAGUCACUAACAAUAGUCAGCACCUUUUUUAGUGGCGAUUUAUUAUUGUCGUCACAAAUAACAUUUAGUUAUGAAAGUACUUGCAACAACUGUAAUGUCACCACUGAAAAUCUUUAGGCGACUUUCUUGCUAUUUGUAGUGACAUUUGUUGCCACUAAAAUUCCAGUUUCUUGUAGUGAUAUCUUGUGUUGGUAAAACACCUCCUUCUUCUUGCUAGAUGUGUUCUUGAUUGUCAGCACAACCUCUCCUGCCUCACUAUGUUAUUCAAUGUGUUGUGAAUUACCAACACGAAUUGUUGGUGGGAUAGUUGAGAUCCCUCCACACUUAAUCAGAUGCCUCGGUUAUAAGAAUCGGGUUACCAGAAUAAAUAAAAGAUGCACAUACUUCCUCAUGUUUAACAUGAUACAACAUAGAACGAGUGCGAUAAUAUAUUAAUAGUAUAAGAAAUUCAAAGAUAAAAUUUCUUUGGACUUAGUGACACAAAGUCAUUUUCAGGAGCAAAUAGAAUGUGAAUACCAGACACUAAAACUGGGUAGAAAACAAAAAAAUAAUUAAUAAUUAUGACCCUAAAAUAAAAAUAAGAAUAAAAACAAAUAAUCCACGUUAGCCAUGAGGAAGCCCCUGCAUCUUCCAUGUGAAUAAAACUAAUACUCGUAAAACUAUAAAUAGAAGUUGUUAGUUUCCAUUUAGUCCAACAAUUAUGACUAAGCUUACAAUCUUUCUUUUUCUUUCUAUUUGGUUUUCAUCAUCCUAUUCAUGGUCCAACAAAACUCAUGAUGACUUUCUUGAAUGCCUUUCUCACAAAAUUAUGAACUCAAACUCAUCACAAGUCAUCCACACUCCUAAAAACUCAUCAUAUUCCACCCUUUUGAACUCCUUUUCAGAUAACCUAAGGAUAACCUCCGACUUCAAACCAUCAAUUAUUUUUACUCCUACCAACGAAUCUCAAAUCCAGGUAGCUAUACAUUGCUCCAAGUUACAUGACCUACAAAUCAGAAUUCGAAGCGGUGGACAUGACCAUGAGGGACUGUCAUACAUUUCAGAGACCCCUUUUUUCAUAAUUGAUCUUAGAAACCUAAGAUCAAUAGCCAUUGAUACCAACAAAAAGACUGCUUGGAUUCAAGCUGGCGCCACCAUAGGGGAACUUUACUAUAGAAUCGCAGAAAAAAGUAAAAAAUUGACCUUUCCUGCUGGAGUUUGCCCCAAUGUUGGUGUUGGUGGACACUUUAGUGGUGGAGGCUAUGGUAUGUUGGCACGGAAAUUUGGUACUGCUGCUGAUAACAUCAUUGAUGCAAAAUUAAUCGAUGCUAAUGGACAAAUCAAGGAUCGAGAAUCAAUGGGUGAGGAUCACUUUUGGGCUAUUAGAGGAGGUGGAGGGACUAGUUUUGGUCUCAUUAUCUCAUGGAAAGUGAAAUUACAUGAUAUUCCAGAAAAGGUAACCGUAUUCAACGUGACACGAACGUUGGAACAAAAUGCAACUCAACUAAUUUACAAAUGGCAACAUAUAGCGGACAAAGUUGAUGACAAUCUCCUCCUGAGGCUCUUCCUGAAGAGCAAUGUUCAAUCUCCAUUCAAGCCUGGACAAAGGAGUAUCCAAGCCAUAUUCUCUACAAUGUUUGUUGGAGGAGUAGAUGAACUCCUCCACGAGAUGCAAAAGAGCUUCCCGGAACUAGAAUUAAUGAAAGAAGAUUGCACUGAGAUGAGUUGGAUUGAAUCUAUAAUAUUCUUCUAUGGCGGUUUCCCUAAUGGCACAUCACCUGAUGCGUUACUAAAUUGGAAUACCACAAGUAAUCUACAUAUAUAUUUUAAAGGGAAAUCAGACUAUGUCCAACACCCAAUUUCUAUAAAGGGUCUUGAAGGUAUAUGGAAACUUUACAACCAAUUGGGCGAAAACACAGGUGUUGAAUUACAGGUUAGUCCCUAUGGAGGAAAGUUGAGUGACAUUUCAGAAUCUGAAACACCUUUCCCUCAUAGAGCUGGAAAUAUAUUCAUGAUCGAGUAUGCGGUUUAUUGGAUAAAAAUGGAAGAUUCUAAGAGAAGCAUAGAUUGGAGUCAAAAGAUCUACACAUACUUGGGUAAGUAUGUGUCAAAAUCUCCUAGAGCUGCUUAUUUCAACUAUAGAGAUCUCGAUUUAGGAAUGAACAACAAAGGAAACACAAGCUAUGAACAAGCAAAAAUUUGGGGGGAGAAAUAUUUCAAGAACAACUUUGAUAGAUUGGUGAAAGUGAAGACAAAAAUUGAUCCAACAAAUUUCUUUAGGAAUGAACAAAGUAUUCCUCCUCUAUUAUCUUAAGCUUAAUUAACUUGUUUAUUGGUGUUUGUGAUUAUUGUUCUUGAGUGUGUUCAACUUCCUUUGAUUAUUGAUUCGCGCUUAGCUUCUUGGCUUUGCCUAUCAGUUUGUGUGACUAUAUAUUACCUUGAGAAAUUAAUGGAGAAAAUCAUGAGCUUACUUGCCAUUACUUAUCGUAUAUAUAUGUAGUAGCAAAUUAAGAUAUCAACUAUUGCUCCAUUUUUAAAACUUUUUUUUGUACUAAACGAUGUAAUAUAUCAUACCUUGAUAUGCAUCGAUAUGAGGAAGUGGCAGAGUGUUACUACUACUAGAGCGGGAUAUAUAAUACGUAUUAUAAAAUUUACUAGAGCUAGUUGACUUUUUUUGCCUAGCAAAUAAAGUUCCUAUUUUGUCUGCUUCUAGUCUCCCAGUUGCACAAACAAUGGAGGAUCUGCCCAUAACAAAAAUGAGUUAGCCUUUGAUACUCCAUUUUAAUGUUUGAAACAUAUUUUUCUUCAAUUAACACUAAGCCAUAACUUUGGACUUCGUGACACAAAGUCAUUUUCAGGAGCAAAAAUAGAAGAAUCAAUAACAAUUUUAUUUUCAAAAUUCAACUAAACCACAAAAUAAGUAGUACUCAAGAAUGUAGCUUUUGUAUUCUUGAAUUAGUGAUCUCAUCAUUUGAUUAAUGUCACUCAAUUUUUAUAAAGUAUUUUCAAGUGUUUGCCUUUUCAAAGAAAAAAAACACUAUUUAUAAGAUAAAAGUUUUAAAAGAAUUUUUUUUUCCAGUAAGUAGAAGUUAUUAAUAGGUUCAUAAAUAUUACAAAUAAACAAGUAACUUUCAAGAACCUAAAACGCAAAACUAAAUGAAGAAUGAAUUCUUGAAAAUUCACAUUAGUUUAUUUUGGAAAUUAAUAAUUUUUCUCGGAACCGUUUCAAAAUUAAUUGAAAUAAUAAUUCUUACAAUCACUUAGUUUUCAAAAAAAAAAAAUAGCAUGAGUUUUUUGACACCUUACGACCAUUAUCCUACAUGUUGGGGUUGCAUUUGGAUUUGGGAGAUCCGGUGGUUUCGAUUGUUGUUUGGCUCGCGUCGGAGUUACUUUCAAACCCCCUUCGUCUAAUAAAUACAUGAUUAAAAUUAUUAUUAUUUGUAUAAAGAGUAGAUAUCAAAUUCUCCUAGCUAAUUCAUAUGUUAAUUACUUCUUUAGAUCUUGAACCCUUUAGUAAAAAUCCUGGCUCCACUACUGCCCAUCAAAGGGCACUCAAGUUGCAGACAGUAUUAGAGUUUUCUUUUCUACACUUUUUUUCUUACACUUAUUAUCCGCAUCAAAUUCAUAUUAUCCCUUCAAAUACUUGUAAAGUAUGCAAAUCUGGGGAAAGAAACUAUUUAUCACUUCUUUAACAUCAAUGAUCCCUAUUGUUUCCUCAAGCAACUCUUCACUAAGAGUGCUCACACUCACUACAAUACUAUGCAUACUUCAAUUAUAAUUUUUUCCAUUCUAUGUCAUCUUUGGGAAUCUCAAAAUGAUCGCAUCUUUUAGCACAAAUAUUCCCAACCCAAUACUGCAGUAAUUCAGAACUUUGCACUAGAAUAAUAUCAUAUAGGGCUUAACAACAAAAACUGAUUGUGCUUUAAACCCUUAUAUCCAUACUCAAGGAAUUGGUGGAGUCUUUUCAUGAUUUUGCAGGAAACUUGAUAAUUGGUUUUGCAGGAGAAGUGAAUCCAGAUAUACCUUUGCAAGAAAAGCAUUGGCACUGCUCCGCAACCUACAACGUGCAAUAGCUCAUUAUUUGACAUCACUACAAAUCAAUAUAGAUGUUAAAGAGGUUCUUCAACAUAUCCAAAACACAUCUAACUCUCAUAAGUCAAUUUUUUAUGAUUGCAAGCACCUCCUCAACCACCUGAAAGAUCCAUCAUUUGCACAUGUGUACAUGGAGCAAAAUGCAGUCGCUGAAAAAAUGGCACAUUUUGGUUCUUCAAUGAAUGGUGGCAGCAUAAGGAUAUUUAACCAACCUCCUAUUUUUGUUAUGGAUCUCCUAGAAGCAGGUCAAAGAGGGGUUACAAAAUCAAGAAUUAUAGCUCAUGCUCCAUCCAACACAAACAAGAAUGUUAUCGUGAUUAGUUCACAAUUUUUUUUGUACUAAAAGUUUUUGUAAUGUCAGUAAUAUAGGUACUAUGCUAAUCAUCCUUCUAGUUCAAAAUAUAGAAUAGAUACUAGUACUCACUCUUUGUAUCCCACUCAUGGGAAUCUAGCUUCAUGUACACUUUCUCUGAUAUAUAUAUAUAUAUAUAUAUAUAUAUCUUAUUAAUUAAACUAUGAAAUUUUUAAACUAGGAAGCUUUUAAAAGUUGAAACUACUUUAGCAUUCAACUUUUUGGGCUCUUUUAUUGAGUUGGCCAAAUCUUCUUCCUUUUGAGCUUGAAUUUGGACACUUCUUUAGUGAUAAACAUAUUCUUGAUUUUCCAUUGAAGUCUGUCAUCUCAAGUGCAAGUAGGCCGACAUGAUUACUAUCACUUGGGUUUGAGCUUCUGAAAUAGAAAAAAAAAUGUUGGGAGCUAGUGCCACCAUCAUAAGUGGAUGACAAGAGGGAAUUGCUCGGAUGGUAAGCACCUUUCACUUUCAACCCGAAUGUUGCGAGUUCGAGUCACUAAGGGAGAAAAACGGGUGGGAGCUAAAAAAAACCAUCAUAAGUGGGUCAUGCAACUAUGAAAUUUGGAUUUAAUCUAAUAUCAAUGCGGUUACACCCCAUAAAUGGAACCCGCAGGUGCAUGAUCCGAAUUUCUGAAGAUCCAUGGAAAAAUCGUCCUAAGUUAGUUGUCAUAUGUCGAAGAAAUCCCCUUUUCAUCAAGGAUAUGUAUAUAUUAUCAAUAAUAUUUUCUACUAGCUUACCAAACAACAACUAAAAAAAAGAAGUAAAUAGCUACUAAUUAAUUAUGUUUUUCAGAAAACAUUUUUCAGUUAUCUCAUUUAGUGGGACAGGUUUUCAUAGUCUUGCAACAUAUGACAAACAACAGAGGCAAUGAAUGAUUGUAUUUUGCACCUAAUCUAUUUGGUGUCAACAAAAUAUGAACUUUCGUUGUUUUUUUUUAUUAUCCCGUUUUAUUUUAUGAGAAUUAAUUUGAUUAAUUUUUAAAAUUAAAUUAAAUUAGAUUAAUUUAAUAUUUUAAAUUUGAAUGUUCGAAAAUUAUAAGAAAAAUACUUUAACUUUCCAGAAGUUAAUAGAUGAAACUAUCAUGCACUAUUUUUUCUGGAUAUAUCAUGCCUCCAUUUAAUACAUAAAAGCCUUAUUUUUUUAAACCAGUAAUAUAAUGGCUUCGCAAUAAACUGCAUAAAUUACUACUAAUCAAAUUAAGAUAAUAGAGGAGGAAUACUUUGUUCAUUCCUAAAGAAAUUUGUUGGAUCAAUUUUUGUCUUAACUUUCACCAAUCUAUCAAAGUUGUUCUUGAAAUAUUUCACUCCCCAAACUCUUGCUUGAUCAUAGCUUGUGUUUCUUUUAUUGUUCACUCCUAAAUCAAGAUCUCUAUAGUUGAAAUAAGCAGCUCUCGGAGAUUUUGACACAUACUUAGCCAUGUAUCGAUAAAGUUUUCGAUUCCAAGCUAUGUUUCUUUUAGAAUUUUCAAUAUUCCCCCAAUUCACACCAUAAUGUAUCAUAAAUAUAUUUCCGGCUCUAUGAGGGAAAGGAGUUUCAGAUUCUGAUUUCUCACUCAACUUUCCUCCCCAAGGACUAAAUUCUAACAUGGCGUUCGAGUUUUUGAUUGAUGAUAAUUGGUUGAGUAGUUUCCAUAUACCUUCAAGACCAUUUAUAGAAAUUGGGUGUUGGACGUAGUCUGAUUUCCCUUUGAAGAAUCCUACAUUAUAAGUUGAGCUAUUCCAAUGUAGUAGCACAUCAGGUGAUGUGCCCCUAGGGAGACUGUUAAAGAAGAGUAUCGAUUCGAUCCAACUCAUUUCAAUGCAAUCUUUCUUCACUAACCCUAGUUCCGGGAACCUAUCUUGCAUUUCAUGGAGGAGAUCAUCGACUCCUCCAAUGAACAUUGUAAAGAAGAAGGCGUGGACAGUCUUUUUCCCAUGGCUGAGUUGAGAUUCAGUAUUCCACAAGAAGAUCCUGAGGAGGAGAUUGUCAUCAACUUUGUCCGCGAUAUGUUGCCAUUUGUAAAUUAGUUGAGUUGCAUUUUGUUCCAACGUUCGUGUGACUUUGAAUACGGUUACCUUUUCUGGAAUAUCAAGUAAUUUCACUUUCCAUGAGAUAAUGAGACCAAAACUAGUCCCUCCACCUCCUCUAAUAGCCCAAAAGUGAUCCUCACCCAUUGAUUCUCGAUCUUGAAUUUGUCCGCUAGCAUCGAUUAAUUUUGCAUCAAUGAUGUUAUCAGCAGCAGUACCAAAUUUUCGUGACAUCAUGCUAUAGCCUCCACCACUUAAGUGUCCACCAACACCAACACUAGGGCAAACCCCAGCAAUAAAGGCCAGUUUUUUACUUUUUUGAGCGAUUCUAUAGUAAACUUCCCCUAGGGUCGCCCCAGCUUGAAUCCAAGCAGUCCUUUUCUCGGUAUCAAUGGAUAUUGAUCUUAGGUUUCUAAGAUCAAUUACGACAAAGGGGUUCUCAGAAAUGUAUGAAAGUCCCUCAUAGUCAUGUCCACCGCUUCGAAUUCUGAUUUGUAGGUCAUGUACCUUGGAGCAAUGUAUAGCUGCCUGGAUUUGUGAUGCAUUCGUAGGUGUGAAAAUAAUUGAUGGUUUGAAGUCAGAGGUUAUCCUUGGGUUUUGUGAAAAAAAGGAGUUAUAAAUGCUUGAAUAUGAUGAGUUCUUAGGAGUGUGGAUGACUUGUGAUAAUAAGGUUGAGUUUAUAAUUUUGUGAGAAAGACAUUCAACAAAGUUAUCAUGAGUUUUGUUAGCCCAUGAUGAUGAAAUUAGGCAAAUUGAGAGAAAGAGAAAGAUUGUUAAGUACUUGCUCAUAAUUGAUUAUUUUAUUCGUUGUUGAAAAGUUUGAUGAUGAAGAGAAUGAAAAUUAACAACUUGUAUUUAUAGGGAGAAAUUAAAGAAGCUUAGUUUAUAAAUUAAUUCUAAAAGAUUUUCUUUAAUUUGUUGUCACAAUCAAAUUAAAAGAUGCACAUGCUUCCUCAUGUUUAACAUGGAUUAUUCGUUUUAUAUUUUGUGAUACAACUUAGAAUGAGUAUGAUAAUAGUAUAAGAAAUUCAAAGAUAAAAUUUCUUUGGACUUAGUGACACAAAGUAAUUUUCAAGAGCAAAUAGAAUGUGAAUAUCAGACACUAAAACUGGGUAGAAAACAAAAAAAAUAAUACACCCUCUAUCCCAUGUGACUUACUUUUAUUUUUAGUCAGUUCCAAAAAUAAUAACACAUUUCUAUAUUAAGUAACAAUUUAACUAUAACAUAUUUAUUUUACCCUUAAUGAAAUGAUUUACACACACACAAAUUUCUAUCAUUCAUUUUGGACCACAAGAUUUAAAAGUCUUUCUUUCUUUCUAUAACUCUGUGUCGAGUCAAACUACCUCACAUAAAAUGGGGCAGAAGGAGUAAUAAUUAUGACCCUAAAAUAGAAUGUGAAUACCAGACACUAAAACUGGGUAGAAAACAAAAAAAUAAUUAAUAAUUAUGACCCUAAAAGAAAAAAUAAAGAAUAAAAACAAAAUAAAUCCACGUUAGCCAUGAGGAAGCCCCUGCAUCUUCCAUGUGAAUAAAACUAAUAUUCGUGUAUUUUCUCCCUAGCUAAAACUAUAAAUACAAGUUGUUAGUUUCCAUUUAGUCCACAAUUAUGACUACGUUAACAAUCUUUGUUUUUCUCUCAAUUUGGUUUUCAUCAUCAUAUUCAUGGUCCAACAAAACUCAUAUUGAUGACUUUCUUCAAUGCCUUUCUCACAAAAUUAUAAACUCAAACUCAUCACAAAUCAUCCACACUCCUGAAAACUACAUCAUAUUCCACCCUUUUUAACUCCUUUUUUUCAGAUAAUCAAAGGAUAACCUCCGACGUCAAACCAUCAAUUAUUUUCACUCCUACCAAAGAAUCUCAAAUCAAGGCAGCUAUACGUUGCUCCAAGAUACAUGGCCUACAAAUUAGAAUUCGAAGUGGUGGACAUGACCAUGAGGGACUUUCAUACACUUCAGAGACCCCUUUUUUCAUAAUUGAUCUUAGGAACCUAAGAUCAAUAUCCAUUGAUACCCAAAAAAAGACUGCUUGGGCUCAAGCUGGCGCCACCAUAGGGGAACUUUACUAUAGAAUCGCCCAAAAAAGCAAAAAAUUAGCCUUUCCUGCUGGGGUUUGCCCCAAUGUUGGUGUUGGUGGACACUUUAGUGGUGGAGGCUAUGGGUAUGUUGGCACGGAAAUUCGGUACUGCUGCUGAUAACAUCAUUGAUGCAAAAUUAAUUGAUGCUAAUGGACAAAUCCUGGAUCGAGAAUCAAUGGGUGAGGAUCACUUUUGGGCUAUUAGAGGAGGUGGAGGGACUAGUUUUGGUAUCAUUACCUCAUGGAAAGUGAAAUUACAUGAUAUUCCAGAAAAGGUAACUGUAUUCAACGUGACACGAACGUUGGAACAAAAUGCAACUCAACUAGUCUACAAAUGGCAGCAUAUCGCAGACAAAGUUGAUGACAAUCUCCUCCUGAGGCUCUUCCUGAGGAGCAAUAUUUCUUCUCCAUUCAAGCGUGGACAAAGGAGUAUCAAUGCCAUAUUCUUUACAAUGUUUGUUGGAGGAGUAGAUGAACUCCUCCACGAAAUGAAAAAGAGCUUCCCGGAACUAGGACUAAUGAAAGAAGAUUGCAUUGAGAUGAGUUGGAUUGAAUCUAUAAUCUUCUUCUAUAUCGGUUUCCCUAAGGGCACAUCACCUGAUGUGUUACUAAAUUGGAAUACCACAACUAAAAAAUAUUUGUAUUUUAAAGGGAAAUCAGACUAUGUCCAACACCCAAUUUCUAUAAAGGGUCUUGAAGGUAUAUGGAAACUAUACAACAAAUUGGGCGAAAAUGCAGGCGUUGAAUUACAAUUUAGUCCCUAUGGAGGAAAGUUGAGUGAGAUAUCAGAAUCUGAAACACCUUUCCCUCAUAGAGCUGGAAAUAUAUUCAUGAUCGAGUAUGCGGCUUUUUGGAUGAAAAUGGAAAAUUCUAAGAGAAGCUUAGAUUGGAGUCGAAAACUUUAUAGAUACAUGGCUAAGUAUGUGUCAAAAUCUCCUAGAGCAGCUUAUUUCAACUAUAGAGAUCUUGAUAUAGGAGUGAACAAUAUUAAUGGAAACACAAGCUAUGAACAAGCAAGAAUUUGGGGAGUGAAAUAUUUCAAGAACAACUUUGAUAGAUUGGUGAAAAUCAAGACAAAAAUUGAUCCAACAAAUAUCUUUAGGAAUGAACAAAGUAUUCCUUCUCUAUUAUCUUAAGCUUAACUUGUUCUUGAGUGUGUGUGACUAUUAAUUGUCGCUUAGCUUUUUGGCUUUGCCUAUCAGUUUGAAUGACUAUAUAUUAUCUUGAGAAAACUAAAUGACUUUUGUUCACUUUACUCCUAAGGAUUAGUCCUUAUGAUAUUUUAAUAUAUCAUGUCACUGCAAUAAAAAUAUUUUUUAGCGGCAAUAAAUAUACCCAUUAACAAAGAGUGUUAAAGUCUAUAUCGGCAUUAGUUAACUGUCAUUGGAUCCAAUAUCACUAUAGGUUUUAGGGACAUUCACAAAGAAUGCUAAUUGCCGCUAAAAAUACAUAUUUAAUGGCAAUUAAGCUAUUGACAUUAAUUAAUUGCUGCUAAUGAUUAUUUAUGGUGUAGUGUGUUAAAAGUAUGAUAGGGUUGAUAGGGUCUUGUCCCUGCAUGUAGUUUCCAGUUAUGUUAGAGGGACUUCAUAGAAAGUUAGUAAUAUGUAUUUCAGUUCUUGACUUCCGUAUCAUUUUAUGAAUUUUAGUACUAUGAUAUAGGGAAAAAUUAAUUAACUUUAUCAAAAAGAUAAUAAUCUAUUAACAGUGCAAAGGACUUCUGUUCAUUGUGACACUAAAACAUUAAUGAAUCUGACGGAGUGUUGUAAAUCUGGGGGUUGAUCAGAGAUCAUUGAAAAUUCAGUCAUACUCUUAGUAAAUUUAUCGAUUUUAUUAUUGAAUUGUUAAUUGAGUUCUGCUUACUUGAAACAAAACAAGAUUGAUUAUUGUUACCAUUUCUGGAAAGGGCAUUUUUUCAUUAUAUUUUUUUAUUAAUAUAAACAUUUGUGGUUAAUUGUAAUUAUUGAUUGAGCUAGUGAAUCACUCUCUACUAUAUUAUAUUACAGAGAUCACAAGUGACGUCGAUAUAUAAGGCUUUCUCUAGCUAGAGUGCACGAGUUGACAAAUUCUUGGUUAGCAGAAAUUGCUUUGCGCGGGCAAGAAAUUAUUUAUUUGAUAUCAUCCUUUUCUUUUAAACUCUUGCUUCAUUAGUCAUUUCUCUAAAAAAUAUUGUUUCGUUAAAAAUAUGUUUAAAAUUAAUGAUCUUAUAAUUAUAACUAUUGGUUUUUUUUCGUAGACAAUAAUUGCACUAUUCAACUAUGAAAUUUAGGUUGUAGCCAUUUGAAUAUAUAUCUUUUGUGACAAAAUUUCAUUGUGGCUAAAUUGUAGGUUAAAUAGAGACAAUAAUACAAUUGUCUCUAAUUGUUUGAACUAUUAGUGACAAAAACAAUUGUCACAAUAGAAUACAAUUUUUUGUGGCUAAGGUAUACAAUAUAAUUAACUACAAAUUAUAGUUUGUCUCUAAUGUAUAAAUAUUUUUUUGAGAAUGAGUUUUUUGUAUUCAAAAUUUAACUAAUUUUAGGACAAAAAAUGAUUUGUCGCAAAUGUAUCAAUAUAAUUUUUGCGAUAAUUUUUUUUUGUAUCCAAAAUUUAAAUAAUUUUAGGAUAAAAAAUGAUUCCUCACUAAUGUAUCAAUAUAUUUUUUGCGACAAAAAAUUUUCGUAUUCAAAAUUUAACUAAUUUUAGGACAAAAAUGAUUUGUCACUAAUGUCUCAAUAUAUUUUUUGUGACAAAAAAAUUUCGUAUCCAAAAUUUAACUGAAUUUAAGACCAAAAAAUGUGCUUUAUCACUAAAUGGGAACAUCAUUAGUGACAAAAUAAUGUGUUAGUGAUAACUCUAAAUUCGUGAUUAAUAGUACUCAAUAUAUGGUGUCAAACCAUUUUUUGGUGGGAAACUUUAGUGCACAAAACUUUGUUACAAAUCUUCACGUUUCGUCACUAAAGUAUGUGUCUCAUAUAUUUAGGCACGAAAUAUAAUUUUUGUCACUAAAAGUGAACAAUUAAUGGCGAAUAUCGUAGCUAAUAAUUUUGUAGCUAUAUAUCACAUUUGUUGUAAUGGUUUGUUCUUCUAAGAACACCAAGAACACAUGAAGAAUAGAAACAACUCCCAAAUUUUCAACAUCUUCAAUUCUUUACGAAAUCAUCUCAAAUUUCGACUACAUUAUUAAUUUUUUUAGUAAACUAAAAUUCUAAAAUCAUUUGUAGAGUUUAAAAAAAUCAUCCUUAUUAAAAAAUAUUUCAAAAAAAUGAAAAUCAGUUCCAAAAUUUCAAAAAUUUGCUUUAGUUCAUGAUUUUGAAGUUGUUUUUUGACAUUAGAUCUUUGUUACCUAGUGUUUUUCGAGUGUAUGUUCAAAAUUUCAAAUGAUUUGAAGUUAUGGAGAAAAAUCUACAAUUAAAGAAUGUUGAAGUUUUGAAACUUUGAAGAAAUUUCAAGUGGAUCUUAUUGAGUUAGGUUGAAUCCGCGAUCAAAAAAUAUUGAGUUUUGGUAUCUAGCUCGGAAGGAAACUACUCUUGAAAUUUGAGGUGAUUUCGUGAAGAAUCAAAGAAGUUUGAAAUUUGGGAAUUGUUAAUGUUGUUUAUGUGUUCUUGGUGUUCUUAAGGAAGAAAAAGCAAAAAAAGUACAUUGAUCCAAAAAUUUCAAUUGAAAAGUGUUAGACCUUGUUUGGGGUGUAAAAAGUGGUUUGCAAAACCAGAGUUAAAAAAUGGCAUGGAUGAGCCUUUUCUUUAACAACAAUGGCAUAGAUGAGCCAAACUUUUAAUGGAUGGUAUAAAUGAGUCUUUUCUGAAAAUUAGAUGGCAUAUUUGAGACUUUUCCCAAUUAAUAAUACCGAAUAACUUGUUUCCAACCAAACAAUCCAUUUUUUAAAUAAUAUGCCAUACCCAUGGCAAACGUGGAUUAUUUGUUUUUAUUUUUAUUUUAGGGUCAUAACACGAAUAUUAUUAUUUAUAUCAUUGAUAAGGUAAAACUAAUUAGACAAGAUAUUUUUCCUUUGAUAGAGUUGCAUAGUCAAAUAGAUAGAAUAUCUACUACAACGGAUAUUAACACUUAAACUAUGUCGCUCUUAAUAAAUAAAUUUGUGUAGAAAACUAAACAUUUCCACUUCAUUUUUUUUCUACGUAGUAUUCGGUAUCCAUAUUGGAGUCUGACUAAAUUUAAAUUUGCAUUGGGAAGUCCCACAUUCGGGGGUAAAGCACUCUCUAACAAAGACGAUUUCGUACCUAAAGAAACUCAAUGUUAAACUAGACCUUAAUAAGAAAUUUUAAUUUUCUAUAAUAUAUGAACAUUGAUGGGGUUUUGUAUCAAACUUCCUAUAUGUAUAUUGUCUCAAAAAUAUGAUUGACCAAAUCCACUUUGACUUUUAGAUGAUAAAUAUGGAUAAUAGAUGCUAUCAGAUGGACAAUAAGAUGAUAAAUCUCAACAAAUAUUGUACAUAUCUCCACAGGUAUAAAAUGAGAAGGUAUAAUAAUAUUGAAGACUUGUAUUUUUUCAAGACGUUGAGUAAAUUACAAAGUCUACUCUCCUACAAUGAAUUAAAACGUCUAAAUUCUUAUAAUUGUGACGAGUAAAGAUUUCAAAAGGUUGUUUAAGUAUGUAAAAUUAUUAAACAAAAUUAUUGAAUUUAGUUUUGUAUCAAUAAGACACUUAUUAAGUUAUGACCGUCUUCUUACAAAAUAUGUCACGCUCCAAAUCUACAUUUUGGACAGAAUCAACACCCGAUUUGAUUGUUGACCCGAGUAUCUUAGUCAAUUUAUUCCUACUCAGACCAAAGCGGAAAUAGCGGAGGUUAUUGUCAUUCUUGCUUCUCCUCUUCUUCUUCUAUCUAAGGACAAGGCGGAACUUUUUCUCUUCGUAGGGGUAGGAAAAAGAAAGAGUUACAAAAUAUAUAAAAUGAAAUAACUAAUACCUACAUAAUUCUAAUUAACCAGUUACCAAACGACCGACGAGUAUUGCGUUAGUUUUUAUUAACUCAUACUGAUGUACAAGUCCGCGAAUUCUAACAUGAAGAACAUUUAAUAUAUAUAGAAAAUUUAUUACUUGGAAAAAAUUCAUAAAUCAAACAAUACAUAUCUUACACAAUCUUUGAAUGCUACAUCUAAUUUUUAGUACUAUAUAAUAUAUAAAUUAACUACCAUAUAUUAUAACCUAUAGAUAAUAGAGGAGGAAUACUUUGUUCAUUCCUAAAGAAAUUUGUUGGAUCAAACUUAGUCUUCACUUGUACUAAUCUAUCAAAGUUGUUCUUGAAGUAUUUCUCCCCCCAAAUUUUUGCUUGUUCAUAGCUUGUGUUUCCAUUAAUAUUGUUGAAUCCUAAAUCAAGAUCUCUAUAGUUGAAAUAAGCAGCUCUAGGAGAUUUUGAUACAUACUUAGCCAUGUAUCCAUAAAGUUUUCGACUCCAAGCUAUAUUUCUUUGAGAAUCUUCAAUUUUUCCCUAAUACACCGCAUACUCGAUCAUGAAUAUAUUUCUAGCUCUAUGAGGGAAAGGAAUUUCAGAUUCUGAGAUGUCACUCAACUUUCCUCCAUAGGGACUAAACUGUAAUUCAGCCCCCGAGUUUUCGACUGCUAAUUGGUUGAGUAGUUUUCCACAUACCUUCAAGACCAUUUAUAGAAAUUGGUUGUUGGACAUAAUCUGAUUUCCCUUUGAAGUAUCCUCUUUGAUUAGUUGUGGUAUUCCAAUUUAGCAACACACCAAGUGAUGUGCCCCUAGGGAAACCGGCAAAGAAGAGUAUCGAUUCGAUCCAACUCAUCUCAAUGCAAUCUUCCUUCACUAACCCUAGUUCCGGGAACCUAUCUUCCAUUUCGUGGAGGAGGUCAUCAACUCCUCCAACGAACAUUGUCGUGAAAGAGGCGUAGAUAGCCCUUUGCCCACCCCCGAAUGGAAAUUCACUAUUUCUCAAGAAGAUCCUGAGGAGGAGAUUGUCAUCAACUUUGUCUGCGAUAUGUUGCCAUUUGUAAACAAGUUGAGUUGCAUUUUGUUCUAACGCUCGUGGCACAUUGAACGCGGUCACCUUUUCAGGAAUAUCGAGUAAUUUCACCUUCCAUGAUAUAAUAAGACCAAAGCUAGUCCCUCCACCUCCUCUAAUAGCCCAAAAGAGAUCCUCACCCAUUGAUUCUCGAUCCUGAAUUUGUCCAUUAGCAUCGAUUAAUUUUGCAUCAAUGAUGUUAUCGGCAGCAGUACCAAAUUUUCGUGACAUCAUGCUAUAGCCUCCACCACUAAAGUGUCCACCAACACCAACAGUAGGGCAAGCCCCAGCAACAAAGGCCAAUUUAUUACUUUUUUCUGCGAUUCUAUAGUAAACUUCCCCUAGGGUCGCGCCAGCUUGAAUCCAAGCAGUCUUGUUUUCAGUGUCAAUGGAGAUUAAUCUUAUGUUUCUAAGAUCAAUUAGGACAAAGGGGGUCUCGGAAAUAUAUGAAAGUCCCUCAUAGUCAUGUCCAGUGGCGGACCCAGGAUUUUCACGAAGUGGGUUCAAGAUAUAAAAAUAUACCUAAUAUUAUUUGUAAUUUUUNNNNNNNNNNNNNNNNNNNNNNNNNNNNNNNNNNNNNNNNNNNNNNNNNNNNNNNNNNNNNNNNNNNNNNNNNNNNNNNNNNNNNNNNNNNNNNNNNNNNNNNNNNNNNNNNNNNNNNNNNNNNNNNNNNNNNNNNNNNNNNNNNNNNNNNNNNNNNNNNNNNNNNNNNNNNNNNNNNNNNNNNNNNNNNNNNNNNNNNNNNNNNNNNNNNNNNNNNNNNNNNNNNNNNNNNNNNNNNNNNNNNNNNNNNNAAAAUAUUAAACAAAAUAAUUAUAACCUUAAUUUCAUAAUCGAAUACAUAGAAAUAUACCUAAUAUUAUUUGUAAUUUUUGUUGAUUUUAGAAUGAUAAGGGAUUUUUUAGUUGAAGAAAUAAAAAAUAACCACAAUAAUCAUAUAUGUAUAUAUAAAGACUAGAAUCAAGAGCGAAAAACAUUCAACAAAGAAGAAGACAAAAGGAUUUUUAGAAUUGAGAAUAAUAGGGAUUAGUACCUUUUUGGUUGAGUUUUUUUUUAAAAAAAAAAUAAAAACAAAAAGGACAAAAGUUGUUGACUAUUGGACUUUUAAUUGUAAAAGUAAAAAAUUGUUCUACUUUUUAUAGGUUCUAAGUAACUAAAAGGACAAAAGUUACACCUAUAUAGAGGACAAAAUUGGGUGUGAACGUUUUAUAUAUAAAAAAAAUGAAUUAAAACUAAAAUGUGGCAAUGGGGAUUCGAUCCCGGGUUGGCUGGGAGAAUUGAACCCCCUCAACCACUCGGCUAAGCUUCAGACAUGUGUUAGUGGGUUCAAAAUUUAAUAUAUACAUAUAAAAUUUUAAAAACUGAUUAAAUAUACAUAUAUAUACAGUGUUAUUUCUCAACGAAGUGGGUUCAUAUGAACCCACUUGAACCACUGUAGGUCCGCCCCUGGUCAUGUCCACCACUUCGAAUUCUAAUUUGUAGGUCAUGUAACUUGGAGCAAUGUAUAGCUACCUGGAUUUGAGAUUCGUUUAUAGGAGUGAAAAUAAUUGAUGGUUUGAAGUUAGAAGUUAUCCUUAGGUUACGAUCUGAAAAGGAGUUAUAAAUGGUGGAAUAUGAUGAGUUUUUAGGAGUGUGGAUGACUUGUGAU
This 51384-nucleotide long non-coding RNA is filed under the name Solanum tuberosum (potato). Its description in RNAcentral is "long non-coding RNA (STUB_LNC002944)". The record is from RNAcentral. Lineage: Eukaryota; Viridiplantae; Streptophyta; Magnoliopsida; Solanales; Solanaceae.